Molecule: long non-coding RNA, 58706 nt
Filed under: Setaria viridis
Lineage: Eukaryota; Viridiplantae; Streptophyta; Magnoliopsida; Poales; Poaceae
Description: long non-coding RNA (SVIR_LNC000058)
Source: RNAcentral
UUUUUUUUUUUUUGAAAAUGACUCAGAAUCCUCUUGUCCACUAGGGCGAAUAACUCGUUGAUGGAUAGUGUCGGUAGCACAGAAGUCAAAAAAACAUGCAUCAGGUAACUGCUCAGUGAUCCAACCUCACAUACUUGGAGUCUUUGGCUUUGAAAGGAAUGGAUAACCUUAUUUUAUUUGCAUGACACAGGAAGAGGGAGCAAAGGAUUAAAGAAAAGCACAAUAAGGCGAAUUUGAGAUUGAUGUUUUUUUUUUCCAAAAGGACUGCCAAAGCUUUGCCGCAAAUUUAAUUAGAAGAAGAAAUUAAAAUACCGAAGUGGCGGUCCAGAUUUUUGAGAUUGGUGUUAAGAGCUAGAAAGGGGCAUAGUGGAUGGAAUUAGACUCGAUUAAAAUUCUUUUCCCACCAGGGGUGACGAGUGAGUGCGGUGCGUGCGUGUCAUGGUAUGUGUACGGGCUCAACAACCUUUUAAUCAGAAAAAAGGAUCAGUAGAGCAAAAUUCAAUUAUCCGAAUUCAUAUAAUUUUACUUCCAAAGAGAACUCAUACUAGAUGGAUAACCUUAUAUUGUUGGAUGAGACAGUAAAAAAAAUAAAAGUGCACAUGUUAUUUUCUCGCAAGGGUGGCAGGAUUUUUGCCGCAAGUUUUAAGAUGAAACAAAACAAUUUACAACAACAAUAAAAAAGAGCACAUGUUACAUGUUAGAAAUUUGUAAGAUUGAUAGAUGAAAUGAGACAUGUCAUUAUCCUGCUUGGUGCAUAAAUCAUAGAAGUGCACCUAAUAACUGUUGGGAUGAGAGACUGGAAGAUUUAAAAAGCACAAGAAAGUUGUGUCCAUAUAUGAUUGGUGUGUUAGGCAUUAUCAACGGGCCGGGGCGGGGUGAUGAAAGAAAGAAAAUGACUCGAAAUUCUUUUUCCACUGCGAGUGAAGGCUGAAGAACUCAUCGACGACGAAUGGCGCUAUCAGCAGCGCACACGUCACGGAAGUUAAGCUCGCCGAUUGUGCAAGCAACAAAUCGGCAAAAAGGGGGACCCAUGCUGAUGAUCAGCAGGAGAGCCCAUCAUCUGUGAACAAAGUGUACUAGCUUUAAUAUUCAUGUGGACUUCAAUUCAACCACGCAGGCAAAAUGAAAUAGGUGGGAGUACAUAUGGAAACUACACUCUGGAAAGUGUAGAAUGUAGAAUCACGCAAUUAGUGGAGAACAAUAUUUUUUGGUUGCUUAAAUGUAAAGAAAGACGGAGAAUAAUUCGCUGCGAUUAGAUUCUGAAAGAACUUAUGCUGAAACCAAAGCUCCUGAUCUACUGGAGAGUUUGUUUUUUAGAGCAUCAUAUCUACUGGUGACUCUAUAUAACCCACAAAAAAAUGGUUCUUUCCAAUUGAAUCCAAUUAUCUGAAGGAAAAAAAAUAUAUAAUGGGGGCGCAAGAAAACUCCACACCACCAACUGCCAGUUCAUGUUACGUGGUUGUAGUUCAAGAGGAAAGGAGUAGAGGCGUUGCCCGGGAGAAUCCGCAAUGGGGUGACCACAGCCCAUUGUCUGUACGUGUUUGCCUUUUUCAGAACACAUUCAACAAGCAAGUGAGGUGCCGCUUCAAUGAGUGGAGAAGAUUAGAAAGAGACACUUCCCAUCACCAGUUGAAAAACUUGGUCAUUUGCAUCAAGCCUAGAAAGAAGAAGAAGAAGAAGAAGAAGAAGAAGAAGUAAUAUACAUGUAGCAGUAGUAAUUUACAAAAACUUAUUCUAUAUAUGUGUAUAGUACCUAAAUUACAUGAACCAGAAACUGCUAGUAAGUAGCAAGUACACUGGAAAGGUGAUAUCUGUACAACACAUGCUGGAGCAUUCUCUUUGGAAUCUGUCAUCCCAACAACCAAGCCACCACCCACACCCUCUCUACCCUCCCUCCCAAAGAGGAGCUCCUCCACUGCUCAUGCUAUAUACAUGCCACCAAAUCGAUCGACCUCCUAAAAACUAAAAUCAAAUCCUAGCUCCAAGAACAUAAAAGGUAUCAAGAAACGCUCAACUCACAGGCAGUACACUCUGAACAGGAUGAUCGGCCGGUGGCUCGGCGGAGAUCCGGCGAUGGCGCGGCGGCGUGGUGAGAUGAUCGGCCGGUGGAAAGGACGACGACGGAGCGAUCGAUCAUCACCACCAGCCGUACACCACGCGGGAGCACUUGCCCUUGAUCCAGGUGACGCCGCGGCGCACCGACUCCCGGACCUUGCCCUCGACGUCGUAGGUCUUGUACAUCACCAGCCGCUUCCUCCGCUGCAGCUCGGCGUCGUCCAGCGCCGCCGCCUUCUUGGCCGCCGGGACCGCGGUGGCGGUGUCGUCCAGCGCGGCGAAGGACGGGGUGUACCCGCGGAGGUUCACGGACCGGCGGUUGGCGGAGGUCCAGUUGGUGACGCUGCCGGAGCGCUUCAGCUGCCCGCCGCCGCCGCCGCCGUCGGCCGUGAUGGUGGGCCCGUAGGAGGCCGCGUAGGACGCGCUGUAGGACCGCAGGUUCAGACCGGGGGUCGGGCGGGCGCCCCCGCCGCCGGCGGCAACGCUCUUGGUGCUCCCGCUCCGCUGCACCGGCGGCGGCGCCGGGCGCGCCCACGAGCUCACGCUCCGGGCGCGCUUCACCACCCUCGACGACGCCUGCGCCGCCGCCGGCCGCGCGUAGCUGGCGCUGUAGCUCCGGAUAUCCGCCGCGCCGCCGUACACGCUGCCCCUCUCCGCGCACGACACCGACCUCUCCAUUGGCAUCUUUCAAUCUCCCUCUCUCUCUCCUUCUGCUUCUCUCCCUCGGCGAGCUCUGCUCUGCGACAAGCAAGCAAUGGCGAGGCCGGUGGCGCGGGAGGGGGGCGCUUCUUAUGGGCCAGCGGCGAGUGGUGUGUGGGGAUGCUCGGAUCCGCUGCGGGCGCUGUACCGUGAGGGCAGCUGUGGGGCGCUGAGCAACCCGUGCGGUUUUCUCGGCCGUUGGAUCGACGGAUUGACGGGUGGUGUUGAUCCGUCCUUGGAAGCUGUCGGAUAUGGGAAUUGACAGCUGAGAUCGGGUGGGGGGAGCCGCGGCACAAUUUUCUUCCUUGCAUUUAUCGUGAAAUUAAGGCUGUCAAUUUUGGGAUAAAAGAGCUUGAUGUGUGUGUCGUGGCUCAACAGCAAUGGACAAUAGGUUGAUUGUGCUUCAAGCGCGAGAUGUUUGCAACGGUUGGCCAGAUCACUGAUUGAGGGUGGCACAAUUUUGUGCAUCUUUCGAUCAUCAACCGUAAUUGGCGACACACAAAUCCAUAUCUAGUUCACUCGUGUUGUGUUGUCUUAUAGUUGCGCUCAAUUCCGACAUUCACGGGAGGUGUCUUUCUUCUCUUAGUGAUCUUUCAGCCUAUUUGGUUGAUUCACUCAUUUGGUAUGAGAUUUGUUUUGCGGGUCAGAAUACCCAAAAAGAAUGUAUCUCACUUGUCGAAUGGUUAACAAUGGAACGCCAGCGAAGCAAAUAUGAAAACUUAUAAAAAAUUUGCAGGAUUCAGGAUCGUAAGGAGAAAUUAAGAUGCAUGUGGAUUUUAUUAAAACACUAUCAUGUCGCAACAGGAUUCUUGGAAAUUAACCUUAUUUAUAUAUUCUUAUUCCUAUGGUUAUUAUAGUUUAGUCCUACAAAUCAUCGUCAAUAAGAAUGAGGCUUUUAGCUUUUUUAGGUCUUUGAGGGCAUGAGGGUACGGUGUGGUGGUUAGGAGUUUGCUUUCUUUCUUCUCUUGGUAGUCUUUUAGCCUACUUCACUACUUGGAAGCAUGGGAUUUGGUUUUUAUUGGUGAAUUGGUGAAAAGGCCUAAAGAAUGUAUCUCGUCAUGUUUACUAUAUAUCACCACAUCUAGUGCACGUGUUCUGUGAUAAGAUUCAGUGGUUCAUAAAAAAGAAAAGAAAAGGGGAAGGGAACUUUUGACAUGAGCACUUUCAUUUCUGUUUGCAGAUGUGAAUGUAAAAUAUCUCUUCACAGUACUUUGCCUAGUGAAGAUAGCCUCAGAGAAGAAAAGGUUGCCUUAUGUGUUGUGUCGUUGUAAGCUAAAGCGUGACAGAUCUAUUUGAAAGAAAAGGUAUGGAAAAUUUGUCUCAGAACAGUGAAGAAAGCAGAGACAAGACAGUGGUCACAUACCAACCCUUCCUACGCUUCUAAAUGCAAAGCUUCUUGCGACGUCUUCUUUCGAUGUUCGUUUGGCCUACUCAAUGUAUAAACUACAUGAUAAGAUUUAUUUUGUGCUGAAUUCUGAAAGGCUAGUGAAUGCAUGCAUGCAGUACAUGUCCUCUGAUGUAGGGAUCGGAUAGAUCAGAAAAGGGGAAAGGAAAGGAGCUUGGAGCUUUGCAAAAGUGCUUUUAUGAUCUAGCUUGUGAUGUCGUUUUGAGCUACAGAUAGCAAAUUUGAAAACCACAACUGGCGUCAUGUACUGCAAAUUGACAAGCGGCAUGAGUUAUCUUUUCUGAUUUAGAUACAUGAUACUUGCUUUUAGAACCUAUGUGCGUGUAUGAUUUUGUCUCCUGAUAUGAUAACUCGCAACCAACUAAUUAAAUAAGUAUCGUCACCGUUCUGGGGAAACAUCCUUAAAGAUAUUUCAUUUUACGAGGAGAAUGUACGGUGUUCCAUGACGGAUAUUAGAGUUCUUGUGCAUAACCGUUUUGUUUAUAAUUUAUUUUUAAAAAAUUAUUUUUAAAUUACUAAUCCAUCAAUCCGUGCUCCUAUAUGGGCCAAUAAUUGUAAUAGGCAUUUGAUUCUUUUUUUUUUGCGAUGGAGACAUGAGCACUUAACGGGACAUAAGUAUUAGAAUUUUAAAGAUAAAUUUAGGAUCCAUAGCGAUCAAGGUGUUUGGUUUCUUUUAUUUAUUUAUUUUCUAAAACAUACUACUAGAUACUCCUAUUCAUUAAUCUUAUCUGGUUAUGAUAGCCUCUGGUUAUGAAUUAAUCUAUAUAUUUUUUCCACCCCCGUUCAUAUUAUUUUAAUUUACAUCACAUAUUUGAGUAUAUGUUCGACAUCUAUUUAAUUAGAUUUUAGCUUGAGCUAUGUCAACUCAUUGUUACAGCUGACUUCAUCAAUCCAGACUUUAUCUCCUUAAUUUUGGAGCAAUUGGAUAUUGUACUUUGGUUUAUAUCUUCUCAUAAUGAUGGAGGUCCUCUAGAUACAUAUUUAAGGGGCUAUGUUUUGGUAUUUUUAAUAACUGCAAAGCUGGAUAAUUUAGAUACACAUUUAUAGGGUUAAUUUAGGUUAUUUUCCAUGAUGACAAAUGAAGGCAGUUUAAACACAAAAUUAGAGCUUAAGUUGUACCAUUUUCAUAAUUGUAGACAUAAAAAAUUUAGAUAUAAAUUCAGGCCAUUACCGUUGGUUUUUUUCUCCAAAAUCGCAGGUGUAGGUAAUUUAUGGGUUAUUUUAUAUAAUCGCAUAGGUGGGUGAAUUUGAAACGGACUAAAUCUAAUUACUACUAUUGCCAACAAUGAUUAGGUUUAUAAAAUUCAUGUUCAACUGCUUUGCUUUCAUUGGAAUUUCUAGUUUUUUUUUCUAAUGCGUCUCAGAAAAUCAACAUGCAAGAUAUGAAAAGAGUCUCCUAGAAUAAUAACUAGUACUCCACCGUUCCAAAAUGUGUCAAAAUAUAAAUUAUUUUAGUUUUUUUAGAUACAUGUAUGGAGUUGUCUGGAAGUAUUUUUUUUCCUAGGCGAUCAUUUCGUCGAGGAAUUAUUUUUCUCUGAAUUGUUACCGGGUAAAGUUUCGGACGGACGAUGGAAGAAGUAUACAGAUAGUUUCUAUUUCCUUGUUUGAUCCAAGAAGAGGGACCAACAAAGCAAAGAUCAGGCACAACCCCCCACAACAAAGCUAGCUUUUGGCGGCCGGUACACGAGCGGUCGCAUCUCGUCGCAUCGCACUCGGACGUGGUCCAGCUAGCGCUCUGCACGCCGGCCGCCGUCGACACCGGCCACCACCACGCGCGCGCCGGCCGUGGCAGGCAUCGAACACGUACAAAGAAAAGAGAUGCCCGGGCGACGGAAAGCUACCGCGCACGAUGGGUCGGAUUGGAUUCGUGGCCAAGCCUGCGGCGCGGCCUGGGAGCGCGCGACACGUCUCGCCGGCCGGCCGGGCCUGUCACGUAUGUUGGCGUUGGGGCAAAGCGAACAUAUCCCCGUGGCGUGGCACCAUCGAACGUACUGUGUCGUGGCGGAGCCCUAAGCACGCCACCUAUCUUCAAAUCAAAUCGACAAAUCAGAUGAAAUCCGCCUCGUUUUCGCCUACUACGAGCACGAAACCCCAGCCAUUUCAGAGCAUGCUUUCCACCAAAACUUGUGACGUGAUCGAUACGAUAAGAUCCGGCAGGGAGAGAUGCAGACUGUGCACAGUGGCUGGUGCCAGUAGCUUUCGAUGAUCGAUCGAGCCAGCAGCGUACGCCUAAACACGCCUCUGCAUUCCUGCGCUUAAUUUGCGGUUUUGCUUUUUGGCCCUGAAAGCGACGAGAGUCACUGCAAAUUCUCAUCCAUCAUCUCUCUUUUCUUUUCUUCCUCGGCUGAUGGCCACCGAUCCGUCUCGGCUCGGCUGGGCUCGCAGGCCGCCACCCAAUCAGCGGCGCGACGAGCCGCCGUGGAUCCGCAAGCAGAUCAACGCCGGCUAGUCGUGUUGCUCGCGGACAAGCCAAGACCGACGACGACGGCUGGCCUGUCUGUCCUUAUGCUCGGCUGCCGACAUGGGCGACAGGACAAAGCCGGCGACGACGGCAGCCAGCGUGAAAACUGCUCAAUGAUCAGGCAAUCAGUGGGUGGCGUACCCCGCGCGCGUGCAGCCUAAUCGGUCACACCUUCAAUCAGAGGACUUUCUUGUCGACCGACUCCAUCCGAUCGAGUAAACUCACAUCAAUGUAUAUAGUGUCCAUACCAACUACGUUUCCAAUUUGUAUAGCUACUGUUGGGAUGAAAUCAAUUAAAAGCAACCAAUUAAUCUCUCGUCUUCUUGUGAUAAGGACACGAUUGACAUCAUAGAAUAUACAGUAGCGUGGCAUCUUCUACUUAUACUUCACUUAGAAAAAUAUGUUAUAAUAAUGUAUGUUACAAAAUAUGUAAACGGAAAGAUUUGUAAAUAUUAUAAAUUUGAUUAGAGAUAGGGAUGGACAUGAUGAGUUUGCUUGAUUGGCUCCAAAACUUUCCCAGCUAAAAUUGGGAUAAGCUCAGAAAUUUUGGCACUUGUUUGGUUCAAGUCAAAAAAAAUUUGGCUCGCGCAUUCUGGCACUUGAAGUGAUAUUCUUUAGUUCUUCUCAGAUUUUACACAAAAGUUUUAUCAUGCCCACAUUUUGACAUGUCCUAGAUUUGGUAUGGCAAAUUUUGGAACCAGGCUCGAUAUAUAUCCAUCCACGAUAUUUCAUUACCAAAUAACUCAGCUUAUCAAAAUCAUAAAAAAGAGAUAAAUAUUUCAGGAAUUCUCACAAGCGGCUCACCGCCUGGCAUUUUCACAAUCCGUUGAUUAUGUGAGCGCUUGCUGGGAACGAAAACUGGUUCCCAAAAGAUUAAAAAUGAAAUGUUAUCCUAUUGCUAUUAGCAACAACUCUUUAGUGAGGUGCGGAAGCACUGAUUGGUUUCUUGCACGGGCCCAGCCUGCACGCACCAGCGAGCUUACCAGGCCCUCCCUGGCCAGACUGACAGCAUGCAAAAGCCUGUUGUUUGGUUGUCUGCAUAUUCACAGCAUGGCCGCACAAAUCAGUUAAUUGCUGUCCUUGACAUUGUGCAGGCCAUGCACCGCUCCUCUCUCAUCCUGCACACCUCACGCGCUCCCAUCAGCUUGGCGAAUGACCAUUUUCUGCGUAUUCCCGGAGCCUAGCUGAGAAGGAUUUAAUCUUAAAUCACUAUCAAAAACCAUCUGCAGGGACGUUCCGUAUUUUCUAAGGGUGGGUAAAAUUACCACCCGCACCUACAAAACGGGGUAAUUACUGUAGCAUGCGGUCCGUCCAUGGAGAACCAUUUGCAGCCGCCUCCGGAAAUAAUCUUUUCAGGGACCCGCCUCUAAAAAUCGCCCGCAUUUAUAGGGGCGGGUCACCUCAUGGCCCGCCCCUGCAAAUGGUUGGUUCUCUAGGGGCGGGCCACACGAGCGACCCGUCCCUGAAAAUAGGCGACAAAACAACCAGCUGGGCUUCUUCCUCCUCCCGACAGCACAUUUACUGCUCGGAGGAGGUGCUGCCCGAAAAUCAAAAAAAGUGAAAAAGGUGGGGGAAGGUUUUCAACUUUGUUUCCCUGGAAUUGGAGCUUAUAGGAGGUAAGUUGAUGCUAAUUCCUUGUCUUUUUUAAGCUUAUCGCAUUGGUUUUAGGCUCAAAUGAAAUUCCAUGUACCUCUAGAUAGAUCUAGAUCUCCAAGGUGUGGAUUAGCCAUUUGGAGAUCCAUUUACCUCAAACUUUUGGAUGAAGUUAGCUUAUUUAGGUAGGAGAAUAAGAUUAUCUAAUCAUUUGGACUCAACUUUGAUGUUUUAGCCUCAUUCAUGAACGAUGAAUUUCCUAGAUCCAUGGAGGAGAGAGAAGAUUUGGUUUUUUCUGUAUUGACACAUGCAUGAUAUAAUUUUCAUUUUUUCCAAUAUUUUGUAGGACAAAACAAGUUGAUAUGGAUGAUGAAUAAUUAUUUUUCAUAUUUUUUCCAAGAUUUCUAUAUUUUUAUUUAUUUAUUAGGAAAUACUACAUGUGUAAUUAUAUAUUUAGUACUUGUUUGUUUAACAUUUAUGAUAGUUUUAAUCAAGUUGACAUGGAUGAUAUUUUCAUUAGGAAAUAGUACAUGUGUGUAAUUAUAUAUAUAAUGUUUUUAUUAGAAUAAAACAAGUUGACAUGUAUGAUAUUUUCAUUUUGUGUAAUUUAUUUUUGUUGUUCACAGAGAUGGAUAGGACAUGGAUGUACCAAGCACAAAGAAUGGACACCUAUUUCCGUGGAGAACUUAACAAAUUCAUUGAAGUUGCGGAGAAUAAUGCAAUGAUCAAGAAGACAAAGAUGGUGGCUUGUCCAUGCAAAACCUGCGAGAACAUGAGAGUAUUCAGCGAGACAACUAUAAUAAGAUCGCAUGUGAUGGUUCGAGAUUUCGUUGAACACUACAUGAUCUGUACAUAUCAUGGUAAGAAAGCACCCCCUCAGAAUCCGCUCGACAAAAUCAUGGAAGAUGUCGAGUUUGAAAGAAUAUUUGAUGCUUACGAUUCUUUUGAUGAGGGUGGCAGCAAUGAUGAUGGUGUUUACGAGGGUGGCGAUGGUGGUGGUGAUUACAAUGGCGGUUAUGAUAGUAGAGGCGAUGACGAACUUGACGAUAGUGAUUUUCUGAGCCAGUUGUUGCACCACACCAAAGUGGAACUAUUUGUUGGAAGUGCAACUUCGAGACAGUGAAGAAAUUAGCGGAGGAGAAUGUGUACAAGCGUUCAAAGGGAUGUCCAAAACACUGGAUCGUGCUUCAUUUCAUACUUGAGCUAUUGAUUCUAAAGGCUAAACACGGCUGGUCCGAUGGUAGUUUCAAUGAUCUGUUGCGUAUAUUGGCUUGGUUGCUUCCAAAGCCAAAUGGAGUGCCCGCCAACACAUAUCGAGCAAAGAAGCUUGUUAGUCCAUUCACGAUGGGUGUGGAAAGAAUUCAUGCAUGUCCAAACCAUUGUAUCUUGUACCGCGAGGAUACUUUCAAAGGCUUGGAGCAAUGCCCUGUAUGUUUUGCAAAUUGGUACAAAAACAAUUCCAGUUAUUGUGAUGACGACAAGCAAAACCAACCGAUGGGAAUAAAAGGAAGAGGAAAGAUAUAAGGAAUAGUGUAGCCACUGUUGAGCUAGAAGACACUACUUUAGGCAUUUAUGAGAAGCGGAGUUGAAGAGUAUCUUGUCCCCCUAAGUGGGUUUUGAUGGAUUAAUGAUGCAAGCUUAAGCGUCUAAUGAAAUUUCAAGUGUAUAAGCAGGUUUAAAAGGAAUGAUGGACAUGGGCCCUUUUUGAUUGACCCCUCAAAAAGGAAAUGAAUAGGUAAAGGGCAUACCUUGAAGGCUAAAUUUAUUUUUGGUUUGAAUUUGAGUAUAGGAAUGCCGCACUAUUAAGAAGGAUGCGUAACCUUUGGUCUUUACAUUGAAAAAAGUGAUCAAGAUGACCUAAAUAGACACCUAUGCACCUGCACAUCACAUAGGGAUACUUAGAAUGGUGCUAACUUAAGAGCUUCAGAUUUUUCUGAAGAUUCUUCCGGAAUAUUUCGGAGUUUACAGAGUUUCCGGAAAGUAUUCCGGAAAAUUCUGGAAGUCCAGAGAUUUUUGGAAAUUGUUCUGGAAGAAUCCGGGGGUUUCCGGAGUUUUUGGACAAAGUUCUGAAAACCUCCGGAACUUAAUCUGGUGUGUCUCUAGUGUGUGUGUCUCUUUAUUCGUCGAGUUCUGGUAGAUGGAUCUCGGGGCUUGGUGAAUUUUCAGGGUAUUUAUAGCCUGGAGAGCGCGUGGCAAAAAUUGGAAGGUGAGGGGGCGAAGGAAAACCCCAGGCCGAUCGGCCUAGGCCUUCCUUUUGCCCUCUCGUGUCUUGCUUCGUCCCCAAAUCUUCUUAGAUGCUCAGGAGUCUUAUUUUCACUUGCAUGUGGACCUAGAUGUUGGUAGCUUCAGGAUGAGAUUGAUCUUCAAUAACUUGCUAAAUCUUCGCUCGAUCCUCUUUGAUCCUGAAGUGAUCCUUGACAUAUCUUCACAAACUUAGCCCUUAAGUUAUCUUGGAGGAGUGCUUGCCAAAAAUGAGCGUCGGAGGAGGCCAGAAGACCCCUGGCCGAUCGGCUUGGGCGUCACCAGGCCGAUUGGCCUAGGCUCUUUCUAAGCUUGCUAGCCUUCAUCUUUGAUAGGUUUGUUGCUCAUUCAGAGCUUUAUCCAAAUAUAUACUUUCAGCUCCAAUUUCCUGCAAAAAUAGAAUAUCCUUCAAAAUACAAUGCAUAUACGAAAAUGGGGUUAUUUCAGGUACCAAGUGGCGGGUUAGUAUAAGAAUGUGUAUGAAAACACCACUUAAAUGGUACUAAAAAUGUGUCAAUAACAAGCGUCACCAUCAGGCCGCCUCCUCCCUGACAGUUGGUUUUUAUUUUUCUUUUUUCAUUUUAUUUAAAGUAAAUUCAUUAAGGAUUAUAAAUGUUAUCAUAUAUAUAUAUAUAUAUUAUUAUUUUCUCAAUGAUAUAAAUGUUAUAUGAUAGGGAUUGCGGUAGAAAUUUAAAAUUGUUACCUUUGUCCAUUUUUAUUCCAUGCAAUUGCAAUAUGAUAAUAAAUAUGUUUUCAUAAGUUAUCAUAAUGUACAUGUGAUCUAAUCCAACAAUUGUAAAUUUCUUCCAUUAUUUUUGACAAUCUUUUAUUCUUAGCAUUGCAUGAAUUAUGAUGUUUUGUGGCGUAAUUACUAUUGAAGUUGAUGUUUGUGGAAUAAUGUAUCUUAUUACAAUUUUAUUUGGAUAGUUUGGGCUAAUUAUGGCAAGUGGAAGUUCUUUUUGCCAUGGUGGCGACGGCCGCUGUGAUGGUGGCGAUCAUGGAGACUACAUGUUCGAGGAGCCGUUGUCUCAUCGUCCGGGAAUUGACUUCCCUACUGGCGUCUUUGACUUGCCACAAGGCGAUCGAAGCAAAGGAUCAGUUCCCAAUACAGUAAUAUUCUUUCCUUCUUGUAAUUGAUUUUUUACUACACAUGAAUAAUUUCUAAAUUUACUUGCAUACAAUGUAGCUUAUCAACCCUAUUAGAUGGCUCAAAGAUGUUGUCGAAGAUAUAUGUGGUACUUCUCCUUUAGUGCAAACCGAGGUUGUUGGUGAACCUCAUUUUAAAAGAGUACAUAUCUCUUUUCAAGUACCUAUUCAAGAAACAGAUUUCACAUCGAAGUUACCAGGAGAGGCCAUCCCGAUGGUUUCAAUUGUCGCAUGGGGUCAAAUAGCACCAAAUAGGGUAACUUUUGGAGGACCGCCAUGGAGGCUUGCUUGAUUAUGGGUACUUUGUGCCAGAUUUAUCAUAUUUUCGAAUAAAGCAGCUCGAGGAGGGAGAAAGCAAUGUGAUUGUGACUACUGAGAGACUUUGUCGGCUUAAUCAACAUGACAUGGUAUGAAACAUUCUUUUAUCAUUCUUUUAACUUUAGUUAUGUUACAUCUUUUAACUUUCAUCACAUUAUUAUCAUCUUUUAGGAUCUCUUUGGUACUACCAAUGCGGCAACGAGCUUUCGUGUGAUUCUAGCUCAAGUCUUGGAUGUGUUGGAUUUGACUUACAUGGGUGAAAACCCGAUAUUCACCAAAGAUUGGAAGUUCCAGGCUCAUCUCACUUUCUACAGGCCAUAUCAGCUGACCUCUCCAUUGUUCGAGAUUUAUGGUAGUGUAUGUGACCGUCCAUGUGAAGCGUAGGAGAGUGCACUCAUCCGUGCUCUAACUUUUUAUAAAGUUCUAGGCUGGACGAUUGGAAACCUUAACUAUGUUCCAUAUCUAAGGAAGCGAACCGGAGUAAAAUUAAAUAUGUAGCAUGCAUGGAUGUACCCCUACCCUUUUCUUAUGAAUUUGAACAUAUUCUCUCUAAGAUCUUAAGUAAUGAUGUACGAACUUGCACUAUUGUCAGAAUUGGUUAUAUUGUAUUAUGGCGUGGAUGUACCCCUACUCUUUCCUUAUUGAUGUAGGAACUGGCUAUAUAUAUUAUAUUGCAUAGUGUUCUUUGAGUGUUGGAUCUAAAUGGGUUGAUUGAGAACCACAUUUUAAAAAUUUUGCGUGAAAUUGGUACAAAAUUUUGGCGAUAACGUAUUUCAAGGGGCCAUCAGCCGUCCCUGGAAAAAAAGCUUUACAGGGACGAACCUUUUACCCGCUCCUACAAAUAACUAUUUAUAGCUGCGAAAGCUAGGAGCGGUAGCGCGCCCACCCUGAAAAUAUUGUUUCAACCGCACCUGGAAACCAUUUUUGUAGUCGUGCAUCGCACGAGACAGGUCCAGUAGCUGCUGCAUCCAUCAAUCACGCGCUAGUUGCAUGCGGGGAGCCUGCUCGUUCGGCUAAAACGAGGCAACCAAUCAGCCCCAUGGGUUCGAAUUGAUACAAGAACUUCACGUGCGCGAAAAAUGUGUGACUGCGAGCCAGGCUAAUAGACUGGUCAAUCCCAAAUAUAUUCCUUCUUAUUUAUUGCAUGUUGUAGAUCCUUGUAUGGAUAGAUCCUUCACACAUGUACAUCGUCUCUCUUGUUUUUGAAACUUAUGUAGAUCGUCUCUCUCUUGGCGGCGAGCUGGGGUUCCUCCGAUGCGUCCUUUGCUGCCGACUUGGGCGCGCGCGGACAAGACAAUGCAGGACCGAUGAACAGUAGGGUGGCGAGCUAUCAAUAAUCAGUCAGGGCGUGGGCAGCUAGCGCGUGCCGUCGUCGUUUCCCGCACGGAGAGAGCUAGCUGUUGCCGGAAACCAAACUUUCCUGGGCGCUGAAAACGAUCGAGGCGAGGAUCUUGAUCCGAGUGAAGCAGACGGUUUUUCGUCGUCUCCAACCGCAACAUCACGGUUGCAAGCCAGGCCAAGAGCCACACGAAUACACGGUGGAUGGAGCCGUAUACGUGUAGCCAUUACCUCGCCCCGUUGAGACGAGCUAGGUCGUCACCAUCAGUACGGACGGUGGUACCAGACGUACGGUUCACGAGAGGAGCGAGGCCAUGAAAUAUCUUGCUUUGGCACAAUCAAACUCAGCUAGCUCAGGCCCCCACAUCACCAGGCCAUGGGCUAGGUCGCUAGGAUAGGAUCUGUGUUCUCCAACCAUCAUAUCGAUCCUUGACACGCACGCAUGUCACCCGUACGCACGGAAAAUAAUGGAACUUAUUCGCUUCAGUUUAUAAGUCGGCUGAAAAGCUGAAACGGCUGAUUUGUUGUGAGAGAAAAAUAUUAUUUGAUGACUAAUAAGUCGGCUGAAUAAGCUGAAGCGAACAGACCCUCUAGCUCACGUCCAUGGCGGACGGGCGCUGUUCCGAUGAUGUCAGCCGGGCACCGACCGGCCGUGCCCGACGGCGACGUGCGUCGAAUCUAUCGUCGAUGGAUAUUACGAUUUUCAACUGCGAAGUUAACACGUUCCCGUGGAUCGUAUCAUCGCAUCUCCCAACGAAAAGGCAGAAUGAUUAGCCUGUUAAUUCGCAGCUGGGCGCGGUUAUUAGCAGUUAGCACGUCCGGUUGAUGAUGGGGUGGAUGUAUCGGUCCUGUUACCAAGGGUCGCCGGCCCGGCCGAUCCAUCGUUUUCUUGCACGUUGACGGGAGCAAUGGCCGCAAUGCCGUACGUUUCAAGGGGAGAUCGAACGGUAUGAUGCGCCACCUCUCGUUUUUAUGAGCAAGGUAGGAGAACGUAGUGGUGCAAGAAAACGUACGGAUCUGCCUUCUUGUGGCGUGCAAAUUAAAAGCUUCAUUUAUUUGACAUGAGCAUCUGUAAUUCGUAUCCGUGUAUACCGUAUAGUAGCAACUCUUAUAAACUCCCGCAGUAGAACAAGUAACUGUGACACGUAAAGCAAAACGGAGGGAGUAACAGCAUGAACGACCAUCGUGUGGUAGCAAGUCUUACACAAAAGCUUGAGAGCCUUUAAUUCUUGUCCUUUUUUGUGCUAGUCAUGGGCUGUCAGCACUGUUCAACGCCCCCCACAUUAUCAGUGCUGCGCUCUCACAUACAGGACCAAGGAAAAUAUCUUGACAUGGUUCAAUACGGGCCCUACGAUACCGGACGACGUACGGGUGUACCAUGUACGUGCUCCUCGAUCUCUGAUAGUUCACAUGCACGCCACAGAAAUCUUCCACCCCAUCGCCGUCCAUGGCAGACGACGGCGGACGUACGUACGGGCGCCCAUUGCGAUGAUGUCUGCAGGGCAGUCACCGGCCGUGCACGAAGGUGACACAUCGAGAAUUUAAAUCGAUCGUGUAUUCGUGUUACAAGUCCAAAGAUAUGAUCUUCAUCACCUUAUCAACUGUCAGUAGUUAGUGUUAACGAUAGACAUCUCUUCCUAUUCAUAGAAGGAGUCCUGAUUCUCCUGGAGCUGUGUCUCUGUGAUUUCCGUAGGGGUUGUUGAACUCGGAUGUAAUCUCUUCAAUGUAUCCUGCCUAUAUAUAUAUAUAUGAGAGAAUACGACCCUAGCAGGUCAGGUAAUGCCAAUUACAUUGACAGUUAGCACGUCUAACAUUUUUUUUUUGAGGGAGACGAUUAGAUGAUGAGUAGUAAUGGUCAGCUGGGCUACGAAAUGCAUUAUUGAUCAGUUCGGCCGGCGGCCCAUUUGCCUUUAUUGGAGGAAGGCCGCGGCCCAGUCAAGCAACUCCUCGCGUGGGGGAAUUGGCCCAUUAAAGAAACAAAAGCAAAAGCGGGGAUCAUCCUUUGCAACCAGAAAGUGGAAAUCUGUGUGCCAUCCCAUAUGACCCCACUUGUCCGUGACAGUGAAUUGGCCAUACCUUAGGAUCAUUUGCUAGGUUGAUUCCACUAGGCGAUAGUCAGGGGCGGAGGCUCCUCGGCAAGCAAGCCGAAGAAUACGUGGUACCUCGCGGAGGGGACAUUGAUUCAUCACCCACACAAUGGAACACGAAUUGACGGGGGCGAGGCAUCGAGCAAGCGUCACAGACGUCCUCAAUUCCCUUGCGUCUGUGCAGAGCGGGGUACUAGGUAUGAUGAGAGUAGCUUGUGGCUCACCGACGCCAGCAGACCUGCCGCCGGUGUCGCACGGCCACGGCAGCAAAGUAUAACGACGAGCAAUACCUGACGAACACAGAAGCGAACAGCAAGUUUUUUUUAAGGGAAUAUAUGUCUAAGAAGCAUCAAUGCUUCGUACGUUACCCUGAUCUACUGGCCAUCCUUAAUUGAAGACUUUAGACCAAUUUCCCUUCUAAACUCCACAAUUAAGCUACUCACCAAGCUACUUGCAGACAGGCUACAGCAGGUGAUCCUAAGAUUGACAAGAAUCAAUAUGGUUUUAUUAGAUCAAGAUUUAUACAUGACUGUCUGGCUUAGGUCUUUGAAUACCUACAUAUCUGCAAGGCCUCUAAAAGAGGUGAUCCUAAAACUAAACUUUGAGAAAGCCUUUGAUAAGAUUGAACACCAAGUCAUUCUACAAAUUCUAAAACACAAAGGCUUCGAGGAUAGAUGGAUUAUUGGAUCAAAGACAUACUAGGAUCAGGCACAUCUUCAAUUCUUCUGAAUGGAGUUCCAGGUAAGUCUUCCACUGCAGAAGAGGAGUAAGGCAAGGUGAUCCCCUCUCACCUCUUCUUUUUGUUCUGGCAGCAAACCUACUUCAAUUAGUCAUCAACACAGGCAAAGACCAAGGAUUUAUUAAACUACCAAUUUCAGAAAGAGCAGGAAUAUAUUUUUCAAUUAUUCAAUAUGCAGAUGACAUCCUACUUGUUAUGGAGGCCUGCCCAAACCAGCUCUUGUUCCUCAAAGACCUUCUCAGCACCUUUGCUGCCUUCACUGAACUGAAGGUCAAUUAUAGUAAAUCGGUUGUAGUGCCCUGAACAUUUCUGAAUCAAAUCUUGAGAAUCUUGUCAGAACUUUUAACUGUCAAAAAGGCUCUCUCCUCUUCACAUAUCUGGGACUGCCCCUAGGAACCACCAAGCCAAACAUGGAAAAUUUUCUACCCCUCAUACAAAAGAUAGAAAAGAGGCUACUCCCUCAAACAAAAGAUAGAAAAGAGGCUAAGUAGCACGUCCCUUCUUUUGAGUCAAGGUGGAAAGUUGGAGAUGGUUAACUCGGUCUUCUCUUCAUCAACAGUUUUCUAUACAUCAACGCUAAAAUUGCACAAAAGGGUUAUAAGAUAAUUGGACAGAUAUGAACUCCAAGAAGCCUUCCAAAGCUGCUUGGCCUAUGGUAUGUUUGCCUAAGCAACAAGGUGGAUUGGGAGUUAUCAAUCUUGUUACACAUAAUGAUGCUAUGCUGCUAAAGUUCAUGCACAAGUUCUUCUCCAAGGUUGACCCAAGGUCAACACUCCUUGGGUCAACCUUGUAUGGGAAAAUUACUAUGCUAAUGGUCGACAACCGGAUCAGCAAAGGAAAGGCUUAUUUUGGUGGAGGGCUGUAGUCAAAUUACUGGAUACAUACAAAGGAAUCGCUUCAGUUUUAGUGGCGAGGACUCCACAGUACUCUUUUGGAAAGACCUUUGGAAUGGAGCAGUGCAAUCGCAGGUUCAGCCGAAGCUUUUCUCAUAUUCCAAAGACCACAACAUCACCUUCAAAGCGGUUGUCAACCAACCAAGUUUUAUCCAGAAUUUCAACUUACCCCUAACAACCCAAGCACAUUCACAAUUUAUCAUCCUGCAGUAACUCAUUGAUGGCAUGAAUACCGUACAAGAACCUGACAGGUGGACAUACAUUUGGGGCAAUUCAAUGUUUUCAACAUCCAAAGCAUAUAAGGCUAUCAUUGGGUAAAGGAAUACCCAUCCAACAUAUUUUUGGCUUUGGAAAUCUAAACGUCAGAUGAAACACAAGGUCUUCUUCUAGUUAUUGCUCAAAGAUCAUCUUAGUACAAGAGAUAUAUUGAGAAGGAAACAAAUGAAACUUGACUCCUACACUUGCGAACUAUGUAUCUUGCAAAAGAUGGAAAAUGUGGCACAUCUAGUCCUCCGAUGUAACUUUGCCAAAGCAUGCUGGAAUUCAAUUGGAGUAUCAGUUAUCACCACCAGACCAAUCCUUCAGAUUUUUCAGACAAAUCAAGGACAAGCUGGCUGUUCCUUUCUUCAUGAAAAUAAUAAUUGUUAUGUCAUGAAGCAUCAGAACAACUAGGAAUGACUGGAUGUUCAAUGGACUGGAUCCAUCAGUGCAAUUGUGCAAAAGGAAAUUCAUGUCUGAAUUUUCCUUGUUACUCCAUAGAGUGUGCCCCACUUUAGUGCCUAUUAUGAAUGUCUGGUUACAUACUCUGUAAUCUCUUACCUUGUACUCCCAGGCUUGUUUUUUCUUCUUCUUUUUUCUCUUUCUCUUCCUUUCCCCUUUUUGAUUUUAUGUCUUUAGAAUUGUGCCAUUUUCUUUGUAUCCUUUUAUUUAAUAUAUAAUCAGUAGGGGUUUAACCCUCCUAUUCUUUUAUAAAAAAAGCAAAUAGCAGGCACCACCCGCAUGUAGAUGGGAUGGCAGACAGGAAGGGGAAACUCUGCCGAUAUCUGAAGUUAUUGAACUGCUCUUAAUUUUUAUUGAAUAGCUAUAUUUUAUUGAGGAUCGUUAGGUCAUUACCUUUAUUAGUGCACUAUGUUUACUUAUCCAUGGUUCUUUUAGGAGGGAGGGGCUUUUUGGCUGAUACAAGGAACAUGAUGACACUAGUGGAACUCGAAUGCAGAUGAGAUAUUUGAAGUAUAAGAAAAUCCAGAGACAACCAAAAUUUGUUUAAUGCCGUAAAGGAGCAUGUCUAUGUGUGCUCCCGAAAUUCAAGAGCAAAGUUAGGCCCUCUUUAAUGGUUGAGGUAGUACACUAAAAUUCAAGAGCAAUGUUAGGCCCUCUUUAAUGGUUGAGCUAGUACAUUUGCUUUAAGCAUGUCUACCUAAUAAAAGAGAUAGCAAAGAGACUACUUCUCCAAUGAUCUAUCUCAUAGCACAUCAUUCAAAGCAUCUUAGGUCCCACAAUAUGUCUCACAUUAAUAAAAUAUGAAAUCCACUUCUCUCUAUGAGCUAUCUCUUGAACAAGAGAUAGCACACUCUCUCUUUUCCCCAUAUUCUCUCACUUCUAUGUAACCAAAAUCAUGAGGUGGACUCCUAUGAACUAGCUCAUGUGGUAUUGUUGGAGGAGGCCUGCUUUAAUUAUCAAUGGACAAUUGCUACACCCUCUAUCCCAAAUUGUAGGUCGUUUUGGAUUUUCUAGCACUACUAGCGAAUGGAUCUUUCAUCCACGACCUUAGUACCGGUUCAAAUUGAGCCUAGUACUAAUGUUAGCAUUAGUACCGGGCCUAGCGGAUAGUACCCAAGGGGGUGCCCGUGAGGCCCUUUAGUACCGGUUGGGGGCACCAACCAAUACUAAAGGGUCCACAUUAGUACCGGUUGGUGCUCCCAACCGGUACCAAUGUGACACCCCACCUUUAGUACCGGGUCAUUAGUACCGGUUGGGGGCACCAACCGGUACUAAUGUGGACCCUUUAGUACCGGUUGGUGCCCCCAACCGAUACUAAAUUUCUUCCUAUAAAUCCCCUCCUUCCUAAUGCCCGAGUCAUUUCCUCCAGCUCGAGCUUCACCCUAUCCAUGCCGAAAUAAGAGGAGGUGCUGCCGGAUUUUGACCAUUUUUUAGGGAUUUCACUCAUUCAAGUGUUCAUAGAUGUUUGUAUAUAUUAUAUUUAGAUGCAUACAAACAUCUAUGAACCGAGGGCGGGGAUCUUGAUAUUUACGUCCACAUCCUUCAAUAGUAGAUUUAAAUUUGCUGCAAACAUUUCAAUGAGAUGAUCACUUGAUCAGGGGACGCACAUACCUAAUCAAUUUGUUUGUUUUUUUAACCAAACAUGAGGUGUCUAUUUCAUAUUUUUUUAUAAAAAAGUAAGAGGAAGGCUGACAAUAGACAAGUAGUAAGCCAAUUAAACAACAAAACUAACUCCUCAACUAAAAACAACUAGGGCAACUAUUGACACUUGACAACAGCCGAAACUGGCACCGAAGGCCCUGCUUGGUGCAGUUUCAUGUCACGGGCUCACGGGCCUAGGAGCGCAAGCGCGGGGGAAUUAGUGGCAGGCGAGGUUUUGAUUUUUGAACCUGAGUAAGAGCGGUAGGUCGUGAGUAUGCCUUGGGCCAUAUUCAGCCCGUGUAGCCAUCGAGCAGUAGGCCAUGAAUAUGCCUUGGGCCUUGGGCCAUGUAUGCGACAAUAUCCUCGACUCUGAAGGAAUUUUUUCUGAACCUAAACCUGCGCAUUCCUCUGUGGCCUCUGUCUCUCCCUAUUCACUUCUUCCUCCUUGUCAAGUCUGUUCUGGUUAUCUCCCAAUCCCUUCCGCUCCCUCUUCUGAUUGAUUACCCACUCGCUAACCAGAGGAGCGCAACACAUCAUCCUCAGCCAGCGCGCCCCCACUACCGCACUGUCCUCGAACACAGUUGCUUGAGCACGUGUUCGCGACUAAAAUUGGCAGACUUGGACAGAUAUGUUCUGAACCGGUCUCCAACCGGUCAGUCCAGUUUGAUCAAAGUUCUGAAAAUGUAAAUUGGACUUCACCAUUGUGUAGCUCUCAUCGAGUAGAUCAAAAUGCAUAUAUAGGGCCUGUUUGGGAGCACUCCACUUCAGAAAAACCAGCUCCACUCCACCAGCUCCACACUUUCCUAGCUCCACUCCACCAACUCCAAAAAAACAUGGAGCUGCUGCACGUGUUUGGCUAAUGGCAGUGCUCCAGCUCCAAAAAUAUGAGCACUUGUUGUGAAUGGUCUAUUUUACCCUUUGUGAACGGACCCACAUGUCAUACUCUUCUAUUUUCUCCUCUCUUCUUCCUCUCUCUCCUCUCCUCUCCUCUUCUCAGUUUCUGGAGGUGGGACAUGCAGACGCGGCGCAGCUGGCGCCAGCGCUCUCCGGAUGACACGAAGACCAUGUCACGGGUGCAGUAUAGGCGGUCGGCCAUCCGCAGCCUGGGGCAGCUGGCGAAGGCCAGGUCGCGGGUCUUCAUGGCCUCCUCCACGGCGGCCGUCGAGGACGCCAUGACGGUGGGCACCUGGCCGAGGAGCUCACCCCCGGCCGGCCUACGCCCCGACCGCGCUGCCACGGGGGAGCUCGCCCCCGGCCGAACGCCCCUGCCGGCCUGCAUCCGGUGGGAGAAGGAAACGGAGACGACGGAGGAGAUAGAAAAAUAAGAACCGAACCGGUAACUUGUGUAACCAGUGGCAAUGGUGGGUAAUAACCCUAACUCCAUGAGGAGGUCUGAAAAGGAGGUUUUUGGAGCACCUCUUGAGGUACUCCAUAAAUAACGUGGAUCUACCCCCUGCUUCACCUUUUUCCUGGAGCCGGAGUUGCUGGAGCUAGACGUGUUUGGCUGCAAAAUUUUUGGAGUUGGUGGAGUGAAGCAAUUUUUCCUGGAGUGGAGUGCUCCCAAACACCCCCAUAGAAUGUCUGAUUUGGUGUUCGGAUGAGAGAGUUAUGUCUCAGUAAGCUUUGCUAUAGCUAAUCUUGUACUUGAACUUCUCCUCUAUGGCACAAAUAAUGGACUUGGGUUCGAAGCUGGGAUUCUCCACUAUCUGAGGAUACAUAUAUUGAGCAACAAAAUCAGCAGUGAGGUUGCGGUAUAUUUCUUCCAAUUCAUCCAACAAGCAUUGGUGCUCAACCACCCUAGUCACCUCCCAGUAAUCCUUCCACUUCCCCUUGUAUGCGUGCACCCUAAACGGGCAAUCAUUUCUCACACAGCGGACAUCAUACGCCAUCGGGUUGCUCUUCUCCACUCUAAACUGAUGCUGCAAAAAUAAAGUGGACCAUCUGUUCACAGCUGCCUUUACCUCAUCCCCACUAGGGUACAAAGCACCCACACAAACCUCAUUCUCCCUAUACUCCCAAGGGAUAUUUCUCCUACAUUAACCUACAGGGCGGAAUGGUCAUAAGUUGACCAGUUCCGCGGGACAGGGUAAGCAUCUUCCUCAUCCGACGAGUCAUGAUCCAUGAUACCAUUGGCCUCCUCUCCUUCCCUCACCACCUGCUCAACUAACUUAACAAUUUAUUCCCCCUCAUCAGCCUCCCCAUUAGGCUCAUGGGCUGCAACAUCAUCCUCUGUAUCUCCCCCUUCUGCCCCAUCGUGAUCAACUUCUUCAUUUGCCCCAUCAAUACUCUCCGCAUAUUCCUCGGCUUCAACUUCAGCACCUCCCACUUCUUCUACCAUCUGACUGCUAGACCCAGCCUUCGUGAACAGUUGAACAUACCAUAUGAGCGGUAAACCAUGCCUCGUGCAUGCCUUUACAUAAGCCCGGUAGCUUGGGGUUCCUUCAAGCGGGAGCAGCUCUCAAAAGUUUAUGUAUGGCCAUCUCUUCACUACAAGCCUUACAGACACAUCCACUUGAUCUCUGUCAACACUGAAAUCCUUACAAAGCCACCUGCAUAUGCCCCCCCCAGUCCUCCCUAUUGCUCUUGGUAAAUAUUUGCAGAAAUACUGAAAACCACUCAAAUCUACCCCUUCCGAACCAUAUCUAAGCUCCUCCGAAUCAUAGAACACUUAGAAAUAUAAACUAUCUGACAUACCUGCCAACAUACACGAAACGAGCAGUCCAAAUUACUCUCAAUAACUUAAAUCAGUUAACUACAACAACACCUUCAUUUAAUUCUAUUAUCAACAAUAAUAAUUAUUUAAGAGUAAACCAACCUUACGAACAAAAUUUACCAUAGGCAUUUACCUGGAAAAAUAUACGCGACAAUCACAAAGGUCCUCACUAAAUCUAAUAAUUCCAACUACCCCUAUAACAACUAUAUUGCCAACACCUAAACAAAAUAUAACCCUACCAAUGCAAAUAAUAUUCAUCUAAAUUUAAUCUACAUAAAUCAACAAACUAAAUUUACUGUCAACUAAAUACCUAAGCUAAAUCCACUAUACUAACUAAGCUAUAUUUUUCCUAUGUCUAAAAUCCGCUACAUUUUCCUAAGUCUCGGAUCCACUAAACUAACUAAACUAACUACUAGAUCUAUCUACUACUACAUCUAUCCACUACACUGUGGCGGAACCACCUCGGAUUAACUCAACUAAAGCACGGUUAAGUCGCUUAAGAUGCGAUCCUCAUGCCUUAAUCGCGUUAACUCGAGGUGCCGUCGGAUUUCUUCCAAUUUAACCACUUGACAGGACCGAGUUAGCAUAACCCACACGAAGGUGAGUGGUUCCAGAGAAUACAACAGGUCCACUACUAGAUUAACAAGUUGUUGCACACUCGGUUAUAAAUCAGAGUUUUACAAAUUCUGAAGAAAACAACAGAAGAUAAAACAAAGCGGAAGCUACUCGUCGGGUUCGGAUGUCCCUGGUGAGGCUAGCCAGGACAUCAAAGGUCCCUUUCCUCGCCGUCCGAGGAGGGAUCCCACUCGACCGUCCAACCCGGAGGGAGUUGGGGCGGCCAAGAGCCAGCAGCAAGCUCAGAAGCUGCAACUUCACCUGAAAAGAGAAGCCACAAACAAGGCUGAGCUUCUAAGCUCAACAAGACUUAACCGACCGGUGGGAACAACUACUCCACCACUUCUAGACAUGCAAGGCUCUUUGGCUGAGGGGUUUGUUUGCCAAAAGCACUAUGUAGAUCCUUAUUUUCAAGUUUUAGCUCAAAUUCUAAGUUCAUUAACCAGUCUACAUUUGCAACUUACUCUAAGCAAACAUAGAUCCAACUUUAUGCAUAUAAGCUCAUCAUCAAGACCAUGUCAUCAUCAGAUUCCUUCAUUACUCAGUGUAGCAUUAUGAUCAAUCAGUCUCAAACUGUGGGAGGCAGACGAAUCGAUUCGAGUUCUUUAACCAUGCAUGGUGAACCUAACCUCACGACAUCCGCGCACCACCGAGGGUCGCUUCCUGUGUCGGCCUUCCCCAUCAAUUCCCUAACCCGUGUCAAGCCCACUUCCUUUGGUGCAAGGUUCCACAGACCCAGCCUCUGCCGUUCUGUAACCACACUUGCCACCACGUGCGGCCGCAGGGGAACUUCGUUCCAAGGACAGUGGGGCAACCGCUCACGUCUAGGUUCAAUCAGGUACUAGGCUUCCCCAUCCCAUACUGAGUAUGAGGUUAGUACUUUCAAACACUUGAUCACGAACACCACCACUGUCGGGCCUUAACAGAUUCAGUAAACAGACGGGACGAUCAGCCGACCACCAAAAGAGUUAACCAAAAUCUUGCCCCGUCCAUCGUCCUUAUAGUUGUAACAGAAGGAAAACAACCGACUCCUAUAACUCGCGAGUGACCACUCGACUUUUACCGAUUCCGAUUUAAGCAUAGCAACUACUCGACCCAACAAACUUGUGUUCAGAUCAAGGGAACUAUGUCAUGCAUCUAAGGUUGCAAACAACUCCUAUACGUAAAUGCACAAACAUGAGAAGUAAGGCAUGUGCAAGUUUGGAAAGAUGGGUUCAUGCUCCGGGGCUUGCCUUCAAGCGGAGGGGAGGAAAACUGUUCUUCAGCGGGGGCUGCUUCGGCUUCUGGAACUGGCAGCUCAGCUACAGCUCCGUCUUCGGGCGCCGGGUGUAGCUCGUAGACGCCAUCAGCGAGAUGCAACUCUACACGAAUGCAAUGCAGGAGUUAGUGUUUAGACGGUUAUUUUAACAACACUUGCAGUUAAAGCUCGGAUACCUGUAGCAAAGCUACAGAAAAAGUGGGGGAAGUUCACUUUAGUUGGUGGAGAACAGGACAAAAGGGUCGAAUGGGAAUAAACUUGUGAUCUGACCCUUAAACUUUAAGGGAUAACUGUGUUCGGGGUCCUCAGACUUAACGCAGAGAAAUCCCGAUCUUUUACACAGAUACACUCGGGUCAAGGAAACAGAUACAGCCGAGUCCUCGGGCCAGGCGGAUAAGGGUCGGCGGAACAGACAGGGUCGGGAGAGACGGAAAAAGGGGUCGGGCGAAACAGAUAGGGUCGGGCGAGACGGAAAAAGGGGUUGGGCAAGCCGGAAAGGGGUCGGCAGCUUACCUUCAGGGUUAUAGGUGAAGCUUUGGGGUCGGGAAAAAGCAGACUUGGGCGGAAGGUCUUAAGCACUAAGUCUUGGGCGGCGGCGAGGUUGGACAAUGCUCCGACGGUGGCGGAGCUUCUUGUGGGCAAUAAGGAAGCUCUAGCACAGCACGGAGGAGCAGACGGCUGGGUGGAUUGGGGAGAAGCGGGUCUGAGCGGAGAAGGGGAACUCUCAAGAGUUUCAGUGGGAUUGCUCAAGUGUGCUCAGAGUAGGGAGGGCGAAAACAGCAAUGGCGAAGGAACUCCGGUGGGACUCUGGCCUUCCUUUUAUAGCUGCGCCGAAGAGAGAGAGUUGCAGUAGCGCGAAGACCGGAAGGAAAGGAUGGAGUGCGCUGCCAUGGCGGCGAUUGAGCGGCGAUAGGCGGCAGAACAGAACUUCGGAGAUAGCAUCUUCGGCCAUUGGGCACUGGAGACAAGGCGGCACAGGCACGGUUUUGCCGGGGUUGAGAUUUGGCGGAGGCGGCGUCGUCGAGCGGCGGAUUUGAUUGGUGUGAUAGGGAGAACGACGCUACAAGAGAGGUUGCAACAGGUGAAAAGACAGGGCGAGUUGCGGCUGCGCGGGCGAGCGCGAAACAGCGGCUUGCCGGGGCACAGUUCUGGCAAGGCGGAAAAGGAGCUAUCGCGGCCGGAGUCGGGGUUGGCGAUGGAGGAAUCGUCGCGGAGCGAGUCCGUGGGUGGCGCGACUGUGGAGAGGCGGAAAAGCCGGAAGGCAUCGGGGCUUGCAGCCGGGGAUCCGGCAAGAUGAUGAUGGGCGCGGUUCGCGAGGCGGUCUGACGCAGCAGCGGCAAAACACUGCCACGGCGGCGACGGGACACCAUGGCGCGGCCGGCGAGGGCGCGAGCGAGACAAGGCGAUGCAGAAAUGGUUGCAGAGGGCUUCCGCGGCGAUUGGGGAGGAGGGCGCGGGAAUCCAUCCUAUCGCGACCGGCGACUGGGCGAAGCGGCGGGCGUCGGAGAGAUCACGCCACGCGGCGGAGAAGCUCUGAAGCGGGCGCAUGCUGCUCGGGCGUGUCUGCCUCGGGAGAUCCGAGGAAAAGAUUUGUGGGUCCACCCGUCAGUCUCGGUUUCUCCUCUGCUCAAGAUGGAAAGGAACACUGAUGUUGGGACUUAGAAGGAACCGGCGGUUCUGGUUGGGUUUUCAGGGGUCAGGACCGGGAACUAGAGUUGAGCGCUCCUGCUCGGGAAGAGCUGAGUCAGCGGGAUUAGGGACUCGGAUUAAGAUUAACUCAGCUGAUUUAACCAGGGUCGUUACAUACACUAUCUACAUUAACUAAACUACGAGAUUUAAAAAAAAUACCUGAAAUGAAGCGACGACCGAAACUUCAAUCUCCCCUCUCCUCCUCCCUCCCUCUCUCUCCCUUCCUUCCUUCCUUCCUUCCUUCCUUCCUUCAUUUCCCUCACUCCCUCCCUCCUCCUCUCCCUCCCUUCCUUCGGUCUCCCUCCCUCCCUCCCUUCCUGGCUCGCUCGGUCUGCUCUGGCGUGGAGGGGAGCCUGAGGGCGGCCACGCACCGUUUAUAUAAGGGGGGCCCUGCCGGCUCAUCCGGCGGUAAGGCUAGCUUCCGCCCUUUGAACUGACGGGACGCCCUUACCGCUAGAUGAAACGAUGAAAACUCUUUGAAACCCGCGUCAUUGGAACCCGUGGGCGGCCUGCCAGAGGGGGCGGUAAGAGACUUACCGUCGUUAACCGCCGUUUCAACCGGUGAUAAGAUGCUACCGCCGUUUGGUUUGGCGGUAUAGAUCUAUUUUUGCAAAUUUUUUAUUCCACUAUUUAUUUCUGCAAAAUUGUAAAAAAAAUGUAAAAAUAAAAAAAGUUCGCAAAUUGGAAGAAGCUUCAAGGCUGCAAAUUGGAAGGCCCACUUGAGAAAGCGGACGCUAGGUGGGCUUCCUUUCCUCCGUACCUAGACGGCGCGGUCAUCUCGGUAGUUCGUCGACGCCCCCGCCGGGCGGCAGCCGGCAGGUGCAAGCAGCUGUGCCUCUCUUCUUGUUUUUUUUUCUUUUUUUUACACUGAGCAGCAGCUGUGCCUUGGCCCUCGGUUGGGGGCAGGGCAGCCAGUGGCCAUAGAUCGAUCUGGCUCCGCGGUUGACGAAGUGACAAUGCAUUUCUCAGAGAAGAAGCGUACGAGAAGACGAGACCAGAGCGUCUAGUACGAACGGUGUUCAAGCUUGAGACUGCGUCAGGAGCUGAGAAAUGCGAGCGCAUACAGCCCAAAUUAGUACGUACCCGGCAUAACCGCGUACUGGCCGGAGAGCCGAGACCAACCGAGUCAGUCAACCGGCGAUGCUCCACAGUAGUCUUAAUACUGCAACUCAGGCUCAGCAAGUGGCCAAGGGUGGAGCUAGGCCCUUUAUCGGGGUGAGCUGACCCGAUGAAAUCCUGCAAUUCCUUAUUAAACUACGGGGGCGUUUGGUUCCCUUUGCUUAUUUUUAGCACGUGUCAUAUCGAAUGUUUAGAUACUAAUUAGAAGUAUUAAGCGUAGACUAUCUACAAAAUCCAUUACAUAAGUGGAGGCUAAACGGCGAGACGGAUCUAUUAAGCCUAAUUAAUCUAUCAUUAGCAAAUGUUUACUGUAGCAACACAUUGUCAAAUCAUGAACUAAAUAGGUUUAAUAGAUUCGUCUCGCCGUUUAGCCUCCACUUACGUAAUGGAUUUUGUAAAUAGUCUACGUUUAAUACUCCUAAUUAGUAUCUAAACAUUUAAUAUCACAGUUGCUAAAAAAAUUAGCAACUGUAACCAAACCAGUUGUAUAUGUUCAUCUACAAGCUUGAUCCCAUUAUGAUAAUGGAGCUGAUGCUGAUCCCGAAGCCGUUGAUGGCUAGCUUCGCCCCCCGCAAGUGGCAUUGUCAAUUCGAAAAUGCUAGGGGACGGGAGAAUCUCCAAAGCGGCGCGCAAGAAAGGCCCAAGCAAACCUGACAUGGAUUCCACCUCAAGAUCAAUGUUGACGCGGCUUUUUAGGCCCUCAACAGGCAGUGGCUGUCGUUGAGACGAGCAUGGCCAGGUGAAGCUCUCCUCUGUACAGGUUCGUUGCAACAUCACUGAUAUAGACGAAGCAGAACUUCUUGCAUUUGGCCGGCCCUCCAAUGGAUUCAAUAUGCUUCCUCCUUCAGUAAUGCAUCUUUUCGAUGCUAGAUGUGUUAGUUAAAGUAUGAGUUGUAUUAGGUCGUGUUUAGCAAACUCCUAGAGCUGAUUCUCUGCUGAAUUUAGCAGGAGCUCCGCCAAAUAGAUUUUUAAAGAGAAUUGAUUCCCUGCUGAUUCUGUGAAGUAAUUCUCUGAAAUAAACUAAGAAUCUAGGAGCUGAAAAAAGUAGUUUCUCCUAAUUCUAUGAAGUAAUUCUCCAUCCUAAUUUUAAGAGUUUAUGAUGCUAGAGAAUCACUUUCAACCACAGAAUCACUUCUCUCAAAGAAUAAGCUCCUAUAGAGAAUCAGAAUCAAAUGGGUAAUACCAAAUAGGCCCUUAGACUAGGACUAGCACAUUCUACUCUGAGUAGGUCUCCUUUAAAUUAUGUAAUUAUGAUUAGGAUUAUGACUCUAUGAACUUGAACUAUAUAAUGAAAGCACACGCGACCUUAAAGAUCACGUUUCAAUUAUUUUCCACAGAGUGUACCUCAUUUUCUCGGUCCAUAACACAGGCACACAGCUCUUAAUCGGUGCCUCAUUUUCUCCUCACUCUCAUCUCUCUCAUGUCUGUCUAUUACGUGGGAUGCAUCACGUGUGGCUCAGUUGUUCCAUUUCUAUUCUUUGUUUGUUCGUUGCGGGUUCAACCUUCAUAAGCCUAUGAGCAUUGAGGGUUAUAGAAAAGUCGCAUGCAUCUACUGAAUUUAUGAAGGGGUGCGUCUAAGGUUAGUUUUGUUAACUAGAUAUCUUUUCCAGAUACACAUAUUUCAUAUAUAAGCAAAACUCAUUUUCGAGUACUAAGCAAUAUAUAUAUAUAUAUAUAUGUUCCAAAUUAAUAUUCAUUUUACUUUUUUAAGUACUCGAUCCGUUCCAAAUUGUAAACCAUCCUAACUUUCUUGGAGAGCCAAACUAUUUUAUGUUUGAUCAAAAUUAUAGAGAGGAUCACAAAGGUUUAUGGCACCGAAUAAAUAUGCUAUGAAAAUAUAUUUAAUGAAGAAACUAAUAUUACUUAUUUGGUGGUAUCAUGAAUGUUAGUACUUUAUUAUAUAAAUUUGGUCAAACUUGAGAUGCUUGGACUCUCAAAAAAAAAUUGGAACGAAGGGAGUAUACAGAAAAAACUAUAUAUGUAUCUAAACAUAUGUAUCUAAACAUAGCGUAUAGCGUAUAUCUAGAUAUAUAGUACAAUUCAUGUAUCCAAAAAAUCCAAAAUAAAUAGUAUUUUGGGAUGGAGGGAGUACUUGCCAAUGCGUUCAGCCGCCCUGUCCCCACACAACCACAAAUCAGGCACAUUUUUUUCACUAAGGAGCUUAUUUAGACUUAUUCAGCAGAAACAAAUUGAGUAAAAUCUUAACUACAUACUUUUACAUUGCAAGAGUGAAGUGCAUGAUCAGGGCUAGUUCAUUCAGAUCCAGUACUCUUAAAUUACUUAUCUUACUUUCAAAUCUUGGCUCAGAAAUGUAAUUUAAUUAUUUCACUCACAUUAAUUAUUUCAUAGUGAGCAAACUUUUCUCUACACGUAUAUCAAAUCAAACACAUAAAUUGACAUAGGCAUAUAGAGAAUAUGAACCCGUCUGUUCAACAAAACAACGAGCGCAUUGACUAAAGCAUAGGUGUAUUUUUGAAGAAAAUUCAUAAUAGUGUUCAAUACACUUGCAAUUUCCUCCCUUGUAAUUCUAUGAACUUCGGUGCACCUUUUUGUAUUGUUAUAAUAAAAUGUAUUGUUAUAAUAAAAAACUAAAAAAAUUUACUAUUCAAUCAUGAAUAAAUUCUUCACAAAAUUAUUUCGUAAAAAAGGUCACAAAAUUAUUCAUGUGGAAUUUUUUGCCUCCACAGCAACCCUUCGCUCCACUCGGAGUCGCUGGUCUCGGCUAUACGCCCAAACCCUCGCCGUCGACUCUUGCAAACCCUUCUCCAUGGCGGCUACGGCAGCCGCGGGGGCCGCCGCCGCACCGCCGCCGCGGCAGUCCAAGCUGGAACCGCGGGAGGAGCUGCGCGUGGAGGUGCCCCCCGACGCGUCCCUCCGCGUGCGCCUCGUCGCCGGCACGGCGGAGAUCUUCGGCACCGAGCUGCCCCCCGAGGGCUGGGUCUCUAUUCCUCCCCGCUCCAAGAUCGCCGUAAGCACCACGCCGCCUCUCUCCACCACCCCUUCCCCAGCAAAAGGAACCACCACCUGGCACGCGCUGCUGCCUUCUGCCGGCAUUGUCGGUGCUGCUUGCUUGACUUGAUUCGCCGUUUCUGUUCUACCGAUUAGAUCUUCAGUUGGCACGGCGCGACGUUGGAGCUGGACGGGCCCACCGAGAGCGAGUAUCCUUCCGUGGAGGUGCGCCGUGGGGCUCGGUUUCUCCUCCUGGUCCUAAUUUCUGUGUAAAUUUAGGGUGAAAUGAGGGUUCCUGGUCUGACGAUUCUGUUGCUUGAUGCUGUAGACACCAAUGGUGAUUUACGUCAACACACACGCCAUUCUUGAUGCGCGACGGGCAAGGGCAAGGGCUGCUGCAGCACAGGGGGGUGAUUUGGAGGCCUCGCAGGUGAGUGCUCCUGUUUCAAUUUAGCUGGUGUCUCAUCAUGAUACAAUUGUAGGGAUUGUUGCAUUAUUGAGAAUCUGUAGGAGAUGCAGAGUAUUGUCUUAUAAAACAACUAGUUAGAAAGCGUGCCAGUUUUGCGAUUUUGUUCAUUAUCUGUAGGAGAUGCAGAGUAUUGUCUUAUAAAACAACUAGUUAGAAAGCAUGCCAGUUUUCCCUAGAGAUGAAAAGUGAUUGUAAAAGUACUUGAAAUUUGGCAUAACAUCGCCUUCAGUAAUUCUGUAGUUUUUUGUUGAAAAGCGUAUGUGAUGUUUUCUUAUGUGUUCCUGACAUGAUGUUCAAAAGACAGACUACAAUGUAAUCAUGCAUUAUUCUUUGUGACAAUAAAAAACAGAUCGCAACAUUGGCCUAUAUAAUUCCGUACGAGCAACUUGUGAUUAACCUAACAGGGUGAUGAUGGCCCUAGAAUAUUAGCAUAGAUUGAACAUGAACAUGAAUGUGAGCAUAAUAUGGUAUACAUAAACAUAACAAACUUUUGUUCUUGAUUGGGAUCUUUUACUUAUAUAUAUCUUCAUUUCCCUGGACUAAAUCACUGAAAUUUUCUUACCCUAUGUGGUUUAGGGACCUAGAGUGAUUGUUGUGGGACCAACAGAUUCUGGAAAAAGUACCCUCUGCAGAAUGCUCCUUAGCUGGGCUGCAAAAUUGGGCUGGAAGCCUACAUAUGUGGAUUUAGAUAUCGGCCAGGGGUCUAUAACGAUCCCUGGAUGUAUUUCUGCUACCCCAAUUGAGAAACCUAUCGAUAUAGUUGAUGGGAUUCCCUUGGAUAUGCCACUAGUUUACUUCUAUGGCCACCCAACUCCAAGGUAACUCUCCGGUGUAUUCUUUGGCAGUUCUUACUCACUACUGAGUGCUUUCUGUAUAUAAUAUAUUUCUUUCUACUGCGUUGCCACCUCAUCUGUUGCUUGUGUUACAAAUAGUAUCAAUCCGGAUGUCUACAAAGUUUUUAUGAAAGAGCUAGCUAAAACAUUGGAGAGACAAUUCUCUGGCAAUGCUGAAUCUAGGGCAGCAGGAAUGGUUAUCAAUACCAUGGGGUGGGUUGAAGGCCUUGGGUACGAGGUGAGUAGUUGGUUUCAAAUGACUGGUAAUUUUCACAAUGCUUGCUGGUGGCUAAUUUAUAUGCAUCAUGUGGUGAUUCUUUAUUUUUGCUCUGCAGUUACUUCUAAAUGCAAUUGAAACUUUCAAGGCCAAUGUAGUGCUGGUACUGGGACAGGCAAGUGAUGCAUUGACUUGUUCAUGCAAAGUGUUUUUCCAACAUGAGCAGUACUUUUCAUAAAAUCAUCCUUGUUUCAUUUCGCAUUGGCUGACAACCGCACUAUCAUAAUAUUCGAUUUGAUGAUAAUAUUAACUGUUCAGUUUGUAGCUAAGUAUAGUGUUACUACGCAUCCUAGGCAGGCAAACAUUUUGUUGUAGUACUGUGCUAUUAUCAAGGUAUCAUGUUAAUUGUUCUAAAAGAAAAUAAGGUGUCCUUUAUAGUGUUUGUGAAAUAAUGGAGAUCCCAUCGAGUAACAAAACGGUAAAUGUUUUGCAGCAUUAAGACGUGAUCGAUCUCAAGUUGAAACAAAACAUAGUCUGCUAGCAGUACUCCCUGGUAGCAUGCUUUCUAUAAACAGAUCAUCCACACUAGUAUGCUCCGGUUGCGCAUAUAGUGCGCAUACUGAAGUUAUGUGAUUUCCAGGGACAUUUCUGAUAAUUCUAGAUAAGUCAUUCAAAAGAAUGUUCUGUAUGUGCCAACUGGCACUCAGAAAGAUUUGAAGAAAUGUGCAUACAGGCACAUAACACCAAAUGUGCAGAAUCGCAUGUCAGUAGCAAUUGAAACUAUUAUUACAUUGUGAUUUAAUCUUGUCAAAUUUAGUGCUCUACGGAACUGUACCUGUUCGUCAUUUUAUUUUGAAUGUUGAGUCAUGGAUAAAUGAAAUUAUCAUAUAUGAAGCAGCUUAUCAGAAUUAUCUGAUCUAUCUCAUGGCUUUCAGGAGAAACUCUGGAAGAUGUUAAAGGAUGCAGUUCAAAGCAAGCCCAACAUUGAUGUUGUAAAACUUCAGAAAUCAGAGGGUGUUGUCCUCAGAAAUUCAAAAUAUCGCCAAAAAACAAGAAGCUUCCGAAUCAAGGUAAGCUUUAUUUUCUUGAAGUAGAAUUUGCCCAAUAAUGCCAUCGAAUUUUGUUGGUACCUAAUGUUAAAGGUAUCUAAUGAAAACUUGAAAUAUAGCUGCAUUAUUGUACACUGUCACUCUCUUUGCCUCUUUCUCCUUUUUUUCAAUAAUUUACAUGUAAUCCUUGCAACAUUUGUGGGGUAAUUAUUCACUAUAUCAACAUUAUGUCAUGCUCUGAGUUGUUAAAGCUAAGUCCUAAUGAGCUCUUGCAGGAAUACUUUUAUGGGAUUGCAAAUGAUCUGGCGCCACAUUCAAACAUUGUCAAUUUCAGUGAUGUCUCAGUGUACAGAAUUGGUGGUGGCCAUCAAGCUCCUCGUUCAGCAUUGCCUAUUGGUGCAGAGCCUGUGGCAGAUCCUACUCGGCUUGUUGCUGUCAACAUCAGCACGGAUAUGAUCCAUACAGUGCUUGCUAUUUCUUAUGCUAAGGAACCUGAUGAAAUAAUUUCUAGGUAAUAAUAUUGUACCCAUUGCUUAUAUUACAGGCUAUAGGGCCAGUAAGGUUUAAUGCAGAAGAGACUCAUACUAGAGAUAUAUCACAGAAGCUACAUUAUUUGUAGAGCAUAGCUGUACAGCAGCCUUAGGAAAAUGAAAAUACAUGAUGUAGGUAAUUGAGCCUUGGGACUUAUUUACAGUUGGUUAUUCUAUCACAUUUUUAAAUACUCCGUUUAUUUUGCUUUUCUUCAGACUGAUUUGCACUCAUAGCUUUUGUGCUUAUUUGUACAUCUUUUGCAUCAAGCUAUUCCCAGUUAUGGCCCUAACCUAACCAUAUGUUCCUGGUGACAGUUAUCCUUGCUUAUGUUACAAGAUUAGAACUGCAUAGUUUUUGAGUUUCGCAAGCAGUAAAUUGUACUUGAAUAGAGAAGAGAUAGGUCAAAGUUUUAUGAAGUUUAUGUCAUGCAGAAAACUUUCAUUUUUCUAGCGGCUCGGUCAGUGGUUAUAAAUUUCUAUAGGAAUGUGUUGUCAUGCUUUAGACAGUGAUAGCAAGGAUGAUUGUUAGGCCUGCCACUGGGUAGGGUAUGGGCAAACCCACUCUUGUUCACACCCAAAUCCAUACAAUUAUUAUCCACUCCUUAUCCUCCCCAAUCCCACCCAUAUCCGAUGGAUAAUUAACUUUGUACUACAUAUGUAUACAUAUCCAAUUGAUUAAUUGUACCCUCCUCAUACCCUACCCUCCCCAUUAAUUUUCUAACCAUACUCUCCCCAUUUGAAGUGGGUGUGGGUGUGGAUUUGGGGAGAGGGUAUGGAUACCCAGUGGCAGGCCUAAUGAUUAUGUUUCUUUUGGUAUGUCGAUAAGUCACAUGGGUUUUGAAUUAUUUCCUUGUGGCUGUAUUUCCCCAUGGUACUGUUUGAUUCAACCAAUACAAUUAAAAAAAUUGAUGUCCAGAUCUGCAGAAUUGGAGUAUCUUUUUCUCAUCGCAAGUUGCAUCUACCCGUUUGCUAACAUCUACAACAUGAUUUAUUGCAGCAAUGUUGCCGGAUUCAUCCAUGUCACAGAUGUGGACAUCCAAAGGUAUGCCUGGGAAAACCAGCGUGUUAGUAUGCAGGUUUAUAAUAUCCAGGUUCGCCUGGAACUAAUGUUCUUCAUUCCAGGAAGAAGCUGACGUACAUUGCACCUUGCCCGGGGGACUUGCCAAGCAGGCUGUUGAUUGCAAGCUCGCUGACAUGGUAUGAGGCCUGAUCGUUCAAGGCUGAAGAUUGUAGCUUAGAUGGGCAGUAUGCCCAGACGAGUAGAGUGGCAUUGCCGCAUGUUGUAAAGCCAGGACAUGUUUUAACGCUGGAACUGAGUGUACUGUGUUGAACUGCUAACCAACAGAAACGGUGCAAGGGCAAACAUUUUGGUUCAGGCGUAUGUUUUGCUGUGCUCCGAUUUACCUGACAAAAUACAACUGCUAUGCAAUUGAGAGUUUGAGAUAACACAAUGCUUGUCCUGGUUAUGUUCACCCUGUGAAAUUGUGCCUGUAAAAUGCCAUGCCCAGAUGUUCCAUCACCCAUCUCAAACAGCAAAACACGUCAAACAUGAACCGAAACACAUUGUAAAACGGUCUACGAAGCUUGCGCCAUCUGAAGAAUAAUCAGGAUAUGCUCAUUACAAGACGCCAACAAACAUUAUAAAGCAGGCGGGCACAUCAGACGCGAAUGAUGCAAACCCAAACCAAAAGCACCUCCCCAUCCGGACAGAAUUUAUUCAGCCAGGCAGAUGAUAUGAUGAUUCUGACCACAUGUUUUAGACCAAAACGAAAAACAAACGAGGGGUGAUUCUACUGCAACUUCCCUUCACUGUCUACAAAUAAUACAAAGUUGAAGUACAACAGAAAAAGAAAAAAUAUCCACUGGCAUUUAACUUUUAAUAUCUUGUAUAAAGAUUGAGAAGCAGCAAAAAAUCUCCAAACAAAAGAAUUGGGAGACAUACAGCUCGGGCUCACAGAACCCGUAUCUAAGGACAGAAGAUCUACAGACCCUGACACUGCGGAAGAGAGGAGCAUCAACACCGGUAAGUUAAGGUCACCACAAUUACAAAAAGUAGUCUGGGGUCUUGCGAGUCGUGUCCGGCUCAAUUUGCCGAGGCGCAGGGUCGAAUUGGAGGAAGUUCUGGUCCAUGUUCUCACCGAUUUCAAGAAUUGCAGCCAUGUUACCACAGCGGUAACAAUAGUUCGGUGCACUGAAGACUGUGACGACAUUCUUAUCCUGCAUGAAUUAUAACAGUAACUAUUCAAGCUUCCAGUGGGAUAAUAUAUGGGGGAACAUUCAAAAGGAAGCACACUAAAGAUACAUGAUCAGCAGUGUGCAACCAUGAAUGUAACAUCAAUACCCACAAGGGUGCCUAGGGCCAUGCUUACAACAAAGCUUUUACUCACUACAUCGGUUUUACAAUAGAAUACAUUGAAGUGUACUUAGUUGCAUGUAUUUGUAUAUCUUUGCAUGGGGUAAGUUGUAUAAGAAGGGAAUCUAGCAUGAGCGCAUGGCUAUAUUGUAACUGCAAGUUGCAAGAGAAGAAUUGCAAAUAGUACAUUCAAAAUAUAAUAUGCUUUUGGGGGAAAUCAAUACAGUUUCAUUAACUGUGAGCAGAUAAACAAAUUGAAAAUGCAAUACUGCAUUCUGAAGACCCACCUGUGCCCAAUUGUAUCCUUCCAUUACAAGUUGAUGGGCCCUUGAGAUGAGAGAGAGACCAUUUGUAUGGUUGAACUGCUGUGCAAUGUCUUGCCCAAAUGUGUAACCUGCUCCUCUUGGUGAAAUUCCCCAACCACAUCUGUCAUCUGGGUCGGACCACAAAAGAUCACACAUGGGUCCUUCAUGAGGAACCUGCAUGCAUUUUUCAGAAUAUGUUAAUUAGCUGAGGAUAAAAAAAAUAUAAGAUGUACAACACAGUUAAUCUACUCCAUGUAAAAAUUAGAAAGUCAUUCAUUAAAGACCCAUCACCAUAAAAAAUAUAAGAUGUAUAACACAGGUAAUCUACACCGUGUAAAAAUUAGAAAGUUAUCAAUUAAAGAUCCAUCACCAUCAGGCAUCGUUUCCUAGUCAAGGUAAGGGGUACUAUCGGCUCAACUUUUGUUAUCAUGCAUAAUGAUCCACAUAACAAAUUAUGGUGACCUAAAAAAAAGGUCUCUAAUGAGGAACACCCUGUAGUAGAAGUACUGGAGAUUCAGGGCAUCUUCUUAAAAUAGCUCAAUACCACAUGUAAAUGUUCCACAAAUAAGUAUAUACAUGCCGCCAGAUGAUAAUUAACAAGCAAACAUAAUUGCACAGAGAGUGACUUCAUCCAAAAAAUGAGCAAUAAUUGGCCACUUUACUAAUAGCAAUGAGCUCGGGCUCAAUAUUAGCAUCCAUGGUAAAGUAAACAAAGUACCCCUACCCCUUAACUAAUACUCUGUCCCAAAUUAUAGGUCGUUUUGGCUUUUUUAGAUUCAUAGAUUUUGCUAUGCACUUAGAUAUAUGCUAUGUCUAGAUUUGGAACGGAGGAAGUACUAGACUAAGCAACAUACAGAAAACAGAUAGGAACCUCUGAGGAGAAGUCAUAUCAAAGGAAUAGCCCAACGAUUAUAAUUCUUAUGCCAUAGUAGUAAGGGUAUACCACAUAUCUAUUCAAAACAUCUAACUCAUCACUAGUCAGACAAUAGUAUAUUUUCGUUUUCAAUCAGAAGGAGCAUAUCUAGUUCACCACUAAUGUAGGAUAAUCAGAACUCAAAUUUCAAUCACUGGAUCAACAGUAACAGCACAGAGUAUAGAUCAAGGUACAUCCCUUGUUAUACGAGGGCAAAUUGAGUAAGUGACAGAAUUCAAGGUUUUGAAGUGUUGGAGCAUGUUGGCUUUUCAAUAUGAGCUUUUAAGAUUCAAGCAAAUGCCUAAAUUUGCAGCUUUUUAGUUGUUUUACUUUAGCUCUCCUGAGACAAGCCCACUUCAUCAAAAUAUUAAGGGAUGCUAAAUGACCCUCCAAAAUCAAAAGUUGUUUCCAACUUGUAUCAACAUGAUCUUAGAUAGUCAAAUACCACACAACAGUUAUCUGUGCCAACAUCUAUCUAGUUAACUGAAUAUUAUGGUUAUGGCACCAUGUUUGUACCUAAACUAAGGCUCUACAGUUCUGCACAUGAACAACCAAAAAGUUUGACCAGUGGCUGAUCUAUUAUGUGUGCAUAGCCAACAAUACAUAAAUAUACUAUUAUCCAAAUAUCACAAUUAUUUACAGCAUACAACUAUACAAGAAAAAUGAUGAUACUGGACAUGGAAAAGAAGAAAACCUAGUCCAUAGUGAAAGGGGUACACUGUUGCCUACCUCUUGUAUGCGAUCAAGAGAACGAAUGUUAUCCAAUGUAUCCAAUGAUGGAGAGAGGCCACCAUGAAGACAGAAGACCUGCAAUAUGGAUGUUUUUCAUAUUUCACGCAUAUAUUAGCAAGCCUAUAACAGCAUCAAUCAUAACAAAUUGAGGUGCCUACCUGAUUUUCUAUAAGAGCUGUGAGAGGCAAAUAAUCGAACAAGUCUGUAAAGUACUUCCAUACAUUUGCAUUUCCAUAUUUUCUUAAGCAUUCAUCAUAGAAGCCAUACCUGUACAAAAUAGUCAAGCUCAAGAACUAUGCGGUUCCAUUACAUGCAUCACUACAAAAUUCACAGAAUAAAUUGUAAAAGAAACAGUGUACAGGUGCAGCAUGUGCAUGUGCCAUGCAAUUAUGAUUUGGUAUGUGUAAGUGAAGUUCAUUUCAAUGACCAAUAGUAACAGCAGUAACUCCAUGGGUGACUAUAAGGAAAAUCACAAUGAGGGCAUUAAGUACAUCAGUGUGUUACUAGGGCACAAAAUUCAUGGCAAUAAGGUGGCCACAUAUCUAGCUGGAUGUCUUCCUGUAAACAAAUAGUUCACAAUGCCAAGCAUAAUGACACAACAAUAGCAUUAUAAUUCACCAAACCAAAUCAACACAUUUUUGCUACCAAUAGUCCAGCAUACAGAAGGCAACUUAUCAAACAAGUGUUGGUAAAGUCUUUAUCUACAAUAACAUGUGCUUUAUGUGGAAUAAUCCAGUUCCGAAUUAAAGAUUUACUAUUUUAGACAUGUUACUUCGGGACUCGGGAGUGAGAUGGCAAGAUAGUAUCAGAUAUUCUGGAAAAAAAAUAAGAACCAUCUAUAUCACUUGUAGCUACUGCAUUGGUACUAAUGAAAGCAGGAAGUAGCAAUUAAGAGUUGCAAUACAAAAUCCAAAUACUACUAGGAGAUGUAGACUCACACUUGAGUGAUUUGUCUGCUCUCAUGAUUUCCUCUAAGUAUCGUAAUUCUAUCUCUGUACCGGACUUUCAAAGCCACUAACAGAGAAACCGUUUCCACUGAGUAGUAGCCACGAUCUGCAGUAAAGAGCCGCACAAUCAAUUUAACAAACAUGACAGAUAUGCUAGGUAAACUAUACAUGGAAAUGAAAACAGACUAAAUUAUUCAUUUCCUUGACCCAGAAAAAUACAAAUUUUCUUUCAAGCAUUCAAAUAAACGACAUUGCGUAUGGCAUCAGCGUAUCUAAAUUGCCAAGAGAAUCAGGUGACAGUUUUUUCUUGUCUUGCACAUAAUAAAGAUCAGCCCGGAAACGACAGACUAACAGUUGAGCACACUCACAUAUCUUACGAAACUGCUGGAGCAGGAAUCCAAAUGCCGGUAAAUGGGAACUAUUGUCUUCUCAACAGCUAAAGGAACAGAAAAGGCAGGGCGCCGACAAGAUCCUAGCACGCUAGACCGCCAAAAAAGUGACAUACAAGCAGCACAGGGCAUUGGCCUCCACAAGUCGAAACACAAAGAACUCCAAUAGCCUACGUAAGCAGUAAAGAUGUUCCCUAAUUUCCUGAGAGCCAAAUUCUUCCGACAAUCCGGCCGGCCGGCCGCACAAGAGCCAAUAAACUGUUCAGGUUUUUCGCAGGAUCUAAAAAUCCCCUACAUCGGCCGCACCAAUCCCCGCAGAUGACAGAUCCGCCGAAUCAAGCAUCGGCAGGUUUGAGCGCGCGAGCAAGAGGAGCAGGGGCAGCCGCGUGUGAGGAAGUUAGGGUAGGGACGCGUAGCCACGCACCGACGUAGUCGCCCAUGAAGAGGUAGUUGGUGUCGGGCGCGUCGCCGCCGAUGCGGAAGAGCUCGAUGAGGUCGUAGAACUGGCCGUGGAUGUCGCCGCAGACGGUGACGGGGCAGCGGACCGGCUGCACGUUCCACUCCUCCAUGAGGAUGGCUUUGGCCUGCUCGCAGAGCGCCUUGACCUCCGCCUCGGGCAGGUACUUGCAGUCGCGCAGCUGCGCGAUCUGCCGGUCCAGAUCCCCGUGCGACGGCAUCUCGCCCGCCGCCCGCUCCCCCCGACCGCUGCAGAUGUUGGGGUGGGAGGUGGGGGGCGACUCCCUCUCCGGCCGGCGAGCCCGCCGGCGGUCAGGUCGGGGCUAGGGUUUGCGGGGGAUCGGCGUGGGACGGGGAGGAGGCGCAGCUCAUGCCUCCAUUUUUUUUCGGCCGCUGCUUUGUUUUAUGCGAAGCGAGAUUUUUCCUCCGCUUCCCAGGUGCGCAGAGACAGCAGGUUGGGGUGGGGUGGUGUGUGGUUUUGUGGUUUUGGAGGGGUGGAAAUGUAAUUAGCAGGGGCCGAGUGAGCUGGUCAAGGAAGACUUCGCGUAGGUGGAAAUGUCAUGCUUCUGCCAGCUUUGCAGGGGCCAUCGUGAGCUAAUCCAUGCCUCAUGAGAUAUAAGAAAUAUAGAUACCUGCUCCUAAUCUACUGACUCUUAGUUCGCUUACUUCACAUCCUAAUCUGAUUUAGAAUAUUUUAUAAUAUUUGUAUACAUUCUACAUGACCUGUUUGAACGGUGAAAUCUCAAUUUUUAUACACAUGCAUUAAAAUUUCUGGUAAGAUUCAAUACUAAUGAAAUUCCUAUCUUAGCUUUUAUGAAUAUGCAAGUUAUUAUGAACAUAAUAGAUUGUCCACAAAAUUUUCAGCUCAUAAAAAAACUGCAAGGCUAAAAUAAAUACUCGGUCAUUGAUUAUAAUAUACUCACCAAUUUAUGCCUGAGUGUAUACACUCUGACAGCCUGACAUCAUGGCCUAGUUGCUCCAAGAAACAUGAGCAAUCAACCAAUGCAAGUAUCCUUCCGCAAUUUGUUCCAAAUAAUAUAGUCAAUGACUACAAAUUAAUUUUUAGAUUCAGAUAGUAAAAGCACAGCAGUCGACCUAUUAUCUUCGACUAAAAAUUUCAAAAUAUAAGGACAAAUCAUAUUUAAGCAUCAUCUGGGCUAAAAUCCUUGAUAAAAAAACCAUGAUUAUUGUAAGGUAUAUGAGAGAGGGCGUUGUACUAAGACAAACACAAAUUGUAGAAGAGAAGGCACUGCACCUGAGUGAUUAUGAACUAUGCCCCUAAGAAGUACCACAGUAUCCGAGUGACCCACGAUAAGCUCCUCAAUCAUAUUAUAAAAUAAGUGGAGUAAGAAGAUCCCUCUUAUCAUUAAUUUACAUCUCUUAUCAUUAAUUCUUGUGAUUUAAAAAGUACCCGUGCAGAUCAGCAACGACGUGUUUAAGUGAAUAUUUCUCGUCAUCUUACGCAUAUGGUUCCCAGUUGUGGAUUGCUCUCCUGGUGAUGCAGUAGUGGGCAGUGGAGCUUCUUGUUGAGGCCGAAGCGGCUGGCAGGUGGUGGUGAGAGUUGCUGACGAAGACGACGUCAGUUAGCGCUGCCUCUGGUUGAGGACUAUUGCUGGGCAUGCGAGUGAAUCCAAACUGGUGGGUGGUGGCAUGCAUCACUAUGGCCAUGCGAGAUCUGCUGCACGUCAUGGGGGAGCUCCUCCACCACUAUGCUAUGCUUGUGACACCUCCCCCGCCGGAUUAGCUUCAGGUUCUAGCAAAGGGUGACUGCGAUGCGACGCGCCACCACUGCGGGAAGUCCCAGCGCCACCGCUAGGAAAGCUGCCAGUCCAUCCUCGUCGGAAGCCGCGGCACCCCAUCACCCACGUGCGGUGGUGUAGCUGCGCCAGGACCACCCCUUGGGCCCAACACCAACCAUGGCCACGCCGGUUGCGCUGCUCCGUCAGGCGCUCGACUACUACUCCAUCCCCGCCCUUGCGCUCAGCAGCUAUUACGAAAAAGCUGAGGGACUUUGCAAAUCAACAACGAACUACGACAAUUUAACUCCUAGGAUUGCGGGUUGAUUACGAAAAAGUUGAGAGACUUUUGCAAAAUAACCGCGAAAGAAGCAACCACAUAUAUAGAUCUAUUUAAAGACUGACGUAAUCAUGAGUUUUAGAGGGAACUGGUUCAAAUAUAUUAGUAUCGAAUAUUAAUAAAUCUCAAAUGGCACUUUGUUUUUUAUAAAAAGUGAUGUUGAACCGCGAUAAAAAGGCUAAUUAUAUUGGAUAUUAGAAAACUAAAUAAACAAUAAUAGUUAAAAGAAAAUGACAUAAGACAACAAAAGUAUAAUAGAAAACAACAUGCAUAGUUGAGUGAGUUUAUUUUUUUAAAACAGUACUCAAAGCUAGUGUUCCAUGCUGUAUUCAAAUUAAAUAACUGUACAAGACAAUUAUAUUAUGUAAUUUUAAGUUAUUUAUUAAUUUACACCACUCCAUAAUUUAAUAAUUAUUUUUUAUUAAGUUUAGAUAAAAUAUAUUAUGAAUUGAGAGACAAAAAAUGAUCGGUCAUGCUGGAAAAAUAAUUGUAAGAGUUAUCUUGCAAAGUUCUUUAUAUGACUGUAUGUAUAUUAAAAAAAUUUCUUGCUUAGGUAAGUUAUUAUUGAGUAGUAAUGUCUAUUGUCCAAGUCUUGUCUUUUUAAAAUCAUGAUUGCUUGAACAUAUGAAUGGAUUUCGAUUAAUAAAUAGAGGAAAAAAAACGCGUGAAGGGCUUGGGCUCUUCACUAGCAACCAGCCGUCUCAGCGCCGCCCAAAAAACCCUCCCAAAUUCGCAACUGCGCAGUCCGGAGACGGGCGGGGGUCAUCAGCCAUGGCGCCGCCGCCGCCGCAGCGUAAGAAUCCCAGCCGUGGUCCCGCGGUGACCGGAGGGAACGGGCGGCCCCCGCGCCGGAUGGCGAGUCGGGAUGCGGCGGAGCGCGCCGCGUUCUUCGCUCGGCGCGAGGCAGCGGCGGUGCUCCGUCGCGUUCUCCGCGGGGACGCCACCAGGCGCUCCGCGGGCUCAAUCAAAUCCCUCGUCUACUCACCUACUGUACGAAACAAGCGGGCCACCUUCGCGCUCGUCUGCCAGACCCUCAAGUGUAAGUAAGCGCAGCCCCAGCUUUCAUCCGGCUGCCUUGGUCGGAGCUCGUGCGCAAGGUGUUCGACGGAAUGCUGAAGCAGAAACUGGUGCCGCAGUCCCUUGCAGGUGUCUGAUUGGAUGCCUUAGUUGCGUGGCUUCUUGUGUCGUGGUGGUUGGGUGGGUUGUUGUAUGCAGUGUGGAGUUGUAGCCAUAAUCGUAGCAAGCAAAACAGCAUGCAAUGGAGCUGUUGAUGCACGUAUAUGCAGUCAUACCAUAUCUUAUAUAGGUCAGGCUUGUAUGUCGCACAGUACAAGAAGCUGUGCUGACUUCACUGGUUGACACUUAAUUUCCUUUUGCUCAAGUCAGUGUCUUUGAAACAAAUCAGAUUUGACAAGUUAAUGCAGCCACACCUGAGUUACUUGGUGUAGUUGGGAUAGUGUCAUGUUAGUCCAUCUGAACGUGGCGAUUUUGUGCUGUUGCAGUUGAGCUAACGGCAAUUUAGUAUUCUGUUGUACAUCGAGGUUUAAUUUUUUGUUUUAUUCUGUUAACUUCUUCCCUCAUGUUUCUUUGUUUCCUUUUAUCAGAUCUUCCGAUUCUUAAGGAGGUUUUAGGAUCGAGUGGAGUGCUAAAUAGCAAAUGGAAGGUCAGCCAACUGAAUCAAAUGUUCUGAUGGAGUUCAGUUCCUUCUUGCUGCAUCUGUUUUUACCACUGCUAUUGACAGCUUAAAAUGCUGACUUUAAAGUUUAGGAAUGCCUCUUAAUUAGAAAUGUGUAACAACUUCAGGGAGCAAGGCACAAGUUCACCAUGUUUUCUACUUUUACUUGCAGAAACAGGAGGAAUUGGUUGUUGUGACUGCCUAUGACAUUCUCUUUGGUCAGGUAUGUCACUUUUUUAGACCUUUGAAAUGAUCAGAUUAGUUGAACAAUUUGUGUGCAUUUACUUUAUCUAACCCUUAUAAAUUGUUAAUUUCAAAUAUCGUUGCUGUAAAAUGUUUAUACUUUGAGUGGUAGAUUGGAUUAAGUACUUGUCUUCCCAAAUAGUCAUUUUCUUCUGUUGAGACACCUGUUCAAGUUCAACAUGUCAUUGAACUUCAACAGUUAUGUUCUUUUUGCUCUUCUUCCCGUUGCAGAAAUUCUGACAUAAAAUGACAUUUCUAGGGAACUGCAGUUUCUGGAUCAGCUGAGCAGUUAAUCUUGGCAAACAAAGACAUUCUUAGUAGUGCUCUUGAUAGAAUUUGUGCAAAAAGGAAUGUCAGCAGUGUUGAAGACUUGGUAGGCCAGAAAACAGCAGGUGCCCUUCCCUCUUAUCUGCUCCUUUUGUAGCUUAUUAUCAUCAAUUGCUCCUGCGAUAUGUGUAUUUCUAAAUUAUUAUCUGGUUGUCAAGACUAGGAUUGCAGCCAUGUUUGGUUGUGAAGAUUAGGACUAUAACCAUGCUUGGUCAAAGGGUGUGUAUAUCACAUCUGCUUGUGUGCAUUGCUUGAUUUAUGUCUAAUUAUCAGUGAUAUAUAAUCCUCAGUAAACGUAUGUCAUAUGCUACUAAAGUUAUUCGUAGCUUUGCUGUUCAUUAUUCUCUUUUCUUUUCAGUCAAACCAAAGCCCAGGUUUCUUCGUGUUAACACACUCAAGACCACUGCUGAGUCUGUGAUUGAAGAGUUGAGCAAAAUACACAUGGUAUGAAAUCUAUCUUUUAAUAUUUAGCAAGAUUGUUGAUCUAAGUAGCAUCGCUCUCAUUUGAUGUUUCUUUAUGAAGCUGUUUUUGCAACUGCAACCUUUUACUUUUGAGCUGUACUAUUCUUAGUGCGACUUGACCAAGUCACUCUGCACUAAAUAGGUUUAUAAAGAUGAUAUGGUUCCAGACAUGUUGGUGCUUCCUCCUGGAACUGACUUGCAUAGCCAUCCAUUGGUCACGAAUGGGAAAGUGUUUUUGCAGGUGACUUUGUGAUUCUCAAGUGUUUACCUUUUGGAAGGACAUGUAAUUAAUGGUAAUUUCCCCCCUCAUUUGGAUCUUCACAGGGCAAAGCUAGUUGUAUGGUAGCGGUUGCACUGAACCCUAAGCCAGGCUGGAAGGUUAGUAUCUCUGUUGGACUAAAUUUUACUGAUAUUUUUACUAUUUUACAAUCAUUUUCAGCUCAGAGAAAAAAUAUUUUAUUUAUAUUACCAUCUGACUUGUUGGUUUAGAAGUUUACAGAAUGAUACCAUCUGGAUUAUACUACUGCAUGGGUUAGUACGUAGUAUACAACUUCACAAAUGGUUUCCCUUGAGGUUUUGUUGCUAUUCUGUUCAUAUCAGAAGAGGCUGCAAUAUACUUGAUAAAUUCCUACCUAUGCAUGUUCUUAAAUCACAAAAAAUGUUGCUAUUCACUAUUCAGGUAGUAAUAAGAUAUAGUGGUACUUGUAUAUUUUUACCUACUAUUUGUGUUGUUUUUAUUUUGCGAAUAAAGUGUCUAUGCUUAUUUGUUGGUAUUGUUGUUUUACGUCUGUCAUGUCUAUUGUAAACAAUGCUGUGUUCUGAUGUGCUGGAUGAAAAAAAUGCCACUCUUGCUGUAUCACCUUUUAGCUAUGUAAUGCCAAAUUAUUAAUUUCCAAUUGAACAUAAAACUUAGGUUAUUGAUGCGUGUGCGGCUCCAGGGAACAAAACUGUCCACCUUGCUGCCCUCAUGAAUGGAGAGGGGAGUAUUAUAGCUUGUGAACUUAACAAAGAGAGGGCCAAGACAUUGCAACAUACUGUCAGAAGAUCUGGAGCAAAUAGUAUCCUUUCUUUAUUAUCCUUAUUAGUUAUAUAUUGAAGUUGCACUUAUAUUUUCUUUUUGUGUAGCUUUUAACAUUAAACCAUCCUUAUCUCCUUGAUAUAAUUCUGAUAUACCAUUUGGAUGUUUAAAGUACAAAUUUAUCUUUGAAUUUGUGCAUAAUUGCUGUACCUAAAUGUCUAUCAUUGAACCUAUAAUUGUUGAUACAACUUGUCCUGGUAGACUUUAUUAGAAGUUCUACUAAAGCUAUCAUCUACUGUUUGUCUAUCUUAGUCUUUUCUUGUUAAUUUCUUCUUGAAAACAUAAAAGAAUAUAAAUCUAUCUUCAGUGGAGCUAAAUUGUCAGAUGUGGUGACUAGUUAUUUGAUCAUCAUUUGAUGAUGUGUUCCUUACUCUACUUCUUUGCCAUAUAUGCUAUCCACUCGUCUUAUAAUAUUUAUGGCAUUUGAUACAUGAACAUCUUUCUUAACUUAUUUUUAUAGAUAUUCAAACAGUUAAUGGUGAUUUUCUGGAUAUAGAUAGCAAGGAUCCAUCAUAUGCUGAGGUUCAUAGACCCUUCCACUUCUUUUGAUAACUUACAAACCUAACUGGACACAUGUUCUGUAGAAUUUCCUUCAUCUUGCAGAACAAUAAUAUCCGUAAUUUUGUGGUGCAAUGGUGUUUGUUGCAGGUCCGUGCAAUUCUGUUGGAUCCCUCUUGCUCUGGUUCUGGAAUAUCUACAGAGAGACUUGACUACUUGCUUCCUUCACAUUCUAGAGGUAACUAAAUGCUUUUAUGGCAGCAGUCCUGCAACAUGUAUGUAUUUAUCUCAUCAAUUUUAAAACUUGAAUUCAACAUAGAUUGCCACUCUGUAAGAUGGGUUGUUAUCGCAGUUUCACAAUACUUACAGUAUGUGUGUUGAACACAUGGACUUUGUCCUAGCCAUCUCCGCAAGACAUGUAAACGUAGUUUUAGUUCAUUAUCUUGUGCAAAAAUAAGUCCUUGAUUUUUUUGUUACCAUCAUUGUGUUAUCAGUUGUGUUGGACUUUAAUUGUGGACUGCUGAGCUAGAUUAGCCUUCUGUAGCUAGCAUAUGUUUACUUUGUCAAAUUUGACUUGAAACUGUGAAACACAUAACUGUAUUGUCAAGCAUGAUCUUUAUUACCAGCAUUCAGGAACACAACCUAGUUUUAAGGAGGGGACUUUUUUUUUUGGUGUGGUGUGGAAAAUCGUGUGGUGGGGGUGGUCCUCCAUUUUAUUAGCUUUUGGUUGGAAUGUUUAGCACGGAAACAAACCUUGUUCUGCAGAUGAUCAGGAUGAUGCGAGUACAAGCUCAAGGGUCAUGAAGCUCUCCGCUUUCCAGAAGAAAGCUCUUUCACAUGCUCUAUCAUGUAAAUUCCAGGUCUAGUCAGUUUAUGUGUUGGAUAAUCACAUAUCAGUGCAGAAGCUGAAGCUUCUCUCCACCUUAUCUGUAGUUCCCUCAGUGGCGAGGGUGGUCUACAGCACCUGCUCGAUUCACCAGGCAGAGAAUGAGGAUGUCGUGAACGCCGUCCUGCCCUUAGCCACAUCACUCGGGUUUGAGCUUGCCACUCCAUUUCCACAAUGGCACCGUCGCGGCCUCCCCAUCUUUGAAGGAUGUAUGUUAUCUACAUCCCAACAGUUUAACGCCACUGCCAGUGAAAAUUUCAGAACGUAUAUCUAACCAGUAACCAUGGCUUCCCUCAUUUGCUUUGCAGCUGAACAUUUGCUUCGGACGGACCCAGAGGACGAUCUGGAGGGCUUCUUCAUUGCCUUGUUCGUCAGAAAAGCCGCAAACGGUGGUGUAGAAGAACCUAGUGAAGAUGUUGCAGUAGAAGUGCCAAGAAAAGUAGUGCUUAGAAGGCGACACGGGCUUAGGACGUUCAGCUCAUUAAGGUUGUCCAGGAUGAUCCUCUGCUCUAACCGGGUUCUCUGGUGAAGGUGUUCUAGAAGCAUUUUGUAGCAAAUUUUGGAAGUAAUAGCUAGUUUGAACUUUUCGCAGACAAUUGAUUUCAUUCUUUUCUUUUAAUGUAUGGGGAUGGGGGAAAAAACUGAUAACUGAUAUCAUGUUGCAUACCAUGAGCAGAAGUACUCUAGCAGUGUUUUACAUCCAUGUUCCGUAACUAUUGUAGACUCUUAUUCGAUGAUACACUAAUCCAUUGUUAUACCAAGCAACACACGAUGACAAGGCGUCAUAUCAUCACACUCAUUCGCUCGUCAUCCAGCUGAGUCAUCAGCUGAUGAUGAGUAUCGAUCACGCAUAACGUCGCCUCCUUCACUUUCCCUGCUGGUGGCCGGCCUUGACCUGGACGACGCGCGGCUUCUUGGGCUCGGGCGGCGGCUUCUUGUCGACGGUGACGGUGAGCACGCCGUCCUUGUACUCGGCCCUGAUGUUGUCCAGGUCGGCCCUCUCCGGCAGCGGGAACCGCCUCAUGAACUUGCCCAUCCGCCUCUCCAUCCUCAGGUACUUGACGCCCUGCUGCUUCUCGCUGGCGCCGGCGCCACCAUCGGCCGCGGCCUGCUGGCCGCCGUCCUCGGCUGGGAGCUUGCGCUCGCCGCUGAUGGUGAGCACGUUGCCUUCCUCGACCUGGACCUUGACGUCGGCGGGGCUAACCCCGGGCAUGUCGACGGCGAGCACGAUCGCGCCGGAGGGCAGCUCCUUGACGUCCAUGGGCGUGUUGGCCAUGGCGCGGCGGUCGCGCACGUAGGCGCGCGUCGGGGCGCUCAUCUGCCGCUCCAGCUCGUCGGGGAGGUCCAGCAGCUGCUGCACCGCCGCCGAGAACACCGGGUCGCCGAAGCCGCCGAACGAGAACUCCAUAGCUCCUAGCCUACUAGUUAGCUAAAAAGAACUCUGGCUUGUGUGGAUCAACAAUGGCUGGUGAUCUGAGCUCGUGUGAUCUCUCUCGUUGUUCUUGCGGUUGGGUUGGGGUGUGGGAGAGGGUUAAUAUAGGGAUGGGACUAUGGGAGGGAAGAGUGUGGAGAGCGAUGGAAGUGUGGGGGUGUUCUGCCGGUUGGGUGGGGUCGUGGGGAGCUGAUGAAGUGAUGAGUUGGCGGGAGAGACGGAGAAGGUUCAGGUGGUCUCCGGAGGUGGCUUUCGCUUUUCUUGCUGAUCCACCUGGGUUUCUGUUCCUGCCUUGCUGGGCUGCUUUCUCUUCUUCGUUGACUGUUCUUGUAUUGUGACGUCACAUGGCCCAGGCAAAGUAGCCUACAAGUUCUGCUACAAAGCGGCCCAAACAUGGAAAGUCAUAUGUAGUUACGUGGGCCAAAUCUUAUAUUCCGAGCCCACCCAGGCCUCGUUAGAGUUCUAUCAUGGCCCAACUUAGGCCCUGUUUGGCACGGCUCCACUCCUAAACUCCAGCAACUCCAUCAAAAAAUUCAGCCAAACACCCCAACUCCAAAACUCCAUGGAGUUGCCAACUCCAUGGAGCUGUAGUGCAAAUGGAGGUGGAGUUUUGGAGCACCUCUUUUGCUACUCCAGAAACCUCUCCUUUGAACCUCCUCGUGGAGUUGGUGGGUAAUUACCCACCAAUGCCACUGGUUACACAAAAAAAUGUUUCAUUCUAUUCUCCCUUCUAUUCUCCUGAGCCCCACUCGCCGCCAGAGCCCCGCCCGUCGCCACCCCCGUGGCCGGCCGGCCCCGCCGCCCGUCGCCGCCCGCCGCCCAUCGUCGCCCCCGUGGCCGGUCGGCCCCCCCCGCCCGUCGCCCGUCGCCGCCCGCUGCCCGUCGCCGCCCGCCGCCCGCCGCCGCCCGCUGCCCGUCGCCGCCCGCCGCCCGCCGCCGCCCGCUGCCCGUCGCCGCCCGCCGCCCGCCGCCGCCCGCUGCCCGUCGCCGCCCGCCGCCCGCCGCCGCCCGCUGCCCGUCGCCGCCCGCCGCCCGCCGCCGCCCGCUGCCCGUCGCCGCCCGCCGCCGCCCGCUGCCCGUCGCCGCCCGCCGCCCGCCGCCGCCCCCCGUCGCCCGUCGCCGCCCGUCGUUGCCCGUCGCCGCCCGUCACCGCCCGCCACGCCCGUCGCCCGUCGCCGCCCGCUGCCCGUCUAUUCUCCCGAGCCCCACUCGCCGCCAGAGCCCCGCCCGUGGCCGCCCCUGUGGCCGGCCGGCCCCGCCGUCCGCCGCCCGUCACCGCCCGUCGCCCAUCACCGCCCGUCGCCCAUCGCCGCCCGUCAUCGCGCCCGUCGCCGCCCACCCCGCCGCCCGUGGAGGGUCUCCCGUGUGCGGCACAGUGUAGUGGAAAAAGGGGAAGAAGAAGAUAGGAUAGAGAGGAUGACAAGUGGGGCCUUAAUUGGGGGGCAACAAUGGCAAUCCACACUGAAAUCGAUCUUUUUUGGAGCUAAGAGCACCCAUCUAGCCAAACACCCCAUUUUUGUUCUGGAGUUUUGGAGCGGAGCUGGCUCCAUGUGGAGUUCUGGAGUGGAGCAGCUCCACCCGGAGUUGGAGCCAUACCAAACAUGGCCUUAAACAAUUGCAAUUACAACAUUUCUUUUUUUUUAUUGCUAGAAUAUUUUUCUCAUGAACACUUUCUUCUACUAGCGGAACAUUUGCACAUACUCGAAGCUGUAAUAAGUGAAAAAUGUUACACCUGAAAGGGGCAGGUGCGAAAAACAUUUCAGCCCUAGAAAAAAACACGUCCCACCGGUGGAGCAUGCUGUACUGUAGGCGACGUGGCCGAAGUUUUUUUCUGCCAGGUGUGCCAGCGCCUGACCAAAAAAGAGUGGCAAACAACUCAGUGGAUCAGAAUCCGCUUAGUGCCAUGAACACUUUGCACGGCAUGCUGAGUAGAGUUGUCGCGCACGGCGCAUCCGAUUCCGCUCAAACAUCUCUUUGUUUUUGUUAUUUUGCACAAAACAUGCUGAGUGGCCAAUGCAUCUAAAAGAUGAGCCAUAGUAAAUUAUGUUUGCGUGUCCUUGAAAACUUAUCUGUAAUUCGUGGCAGGACGGCUCGUGGAUAGGAUAGGAGAUCGGAGAGCAUUUGUUGCACGGCUUGUUGUUUAUUACAGAUCUGUUGUUCGAGAAAAAAAGAAGCUGUUUACAGAUAUCCGUUUUAAGCGAAACAAAUCUGCCGCAAACCAUAAAUCCACGGGAAGAAAAAUCCCUCGCAAGAGAUCCGAGUUCCAACUCAAAUCUCAAAUCAAUCCACAGGAAAAUCGUGCGCCGCUCAGCCGUACCGGUGCCGUGCCCGCUCUACUCUCUCUCUCUCUCUCCCCGCCGCGACGCGUCCGUUACGGGUAACGCCAGCGGCGGGGCCCACCAACCCCGUGACGAACAAACUCUCCUCCGCGUGAUCCCCGCCGGAGGAAUCGGCGUUGCGAAUCGUAAAGCAGCUUAACCCCUUCCCUUCUUUUUUACAUCUUCCCUCGCCCAAAGCCCAACCCCCUCCCACCUCCGCUAAUCAUCGCAUCGAGCGCUCGCUCCCUCCUCCUUCCCCCUCCGAAGUCCGCGAGGUUUCGCAAACUCUUCCUCCUCCCGGCCGCACCCAUCCAGUUCAAUCCAGCGAUGGCGGCGGCGGCGGCGGAGCAGACCGCCGAGCAGUUCAGGGGCCAGGCGCGGCUGCCCGGCUUCGCGGCGCCGCGGCGCUACGACCUGAGCCUCGCGCCCGACCUCGCCGCCUGCGCCUUCGCCGGCUCCGUGGCGGUGGGCCUCGACGUGACCGCGCCCACGCGCUUCCUCGUGCUCAACGCCGCCGAACUCGACGUCGCGCCCGGGGGCGUCAGCUUCGCGUCGCGGGGAUCCGGCCAUGUAAACUAAUCGCUUGCUUGCUCCGGGACCGGGUGUGCUUGUCCUCGUGACGGGCGGGCGUGUGUGGGUGGGAGGCGAGCGCUUGAUCUGCUCGUGCCGGAUUGGGUGUUUAGGGGUUUAGAUGCGGGGGAUUUGAGCUGUCUGCUAGGGUUAUGAGAAGGCACCUGCUAUGCUACCAUUCGCUUAAACUUUUGAUCUAUUCGGGCGAACUUCGGGUCCAGCAUUGUGUACCAAUCGAGGGAACCGGAUCGAUGUCUUCAGAAGCGUAGAAAUUAAAUCGGACACAUGGGUAGUUGUGUGAUCCAAGCUUGUAGUUAUUAGUGCUGUAGCUCGUCAGUUCGUUGAACUUCAUGGUUCCGCAAUGUUGCAAAUUGCGGGCUAUAGAAUUUAGCGGAGUGCUCCCGAAAAAGCAAUAGACAUUAUAGCGCAGCUAUAGCGGAAGCUACGACCUUUAGCUGUAUGCAAAAAACUAGCAAGAUUUAGACUUAAACAUUAUUAAUUUCAUGAAUUUCAGUUCAUAUUUCAUAAGUAUAUGCAGGCAUAAGUUCAAACAUAAGCAAAUAAGUCACAACUCACAAGACAAGUCAUAAAUCAUAACUCGUAGUUCAUAAAUCACAAGUAUAUAAGUUCGUAGAUCAACCAUAGCGCUGUUAGCGGUGCUAGACUAUUGAAUUUAGCGGGGCUAUUUCACACUUUAGCGGAGUUAGCAGCAUUAGCGGUAGUAUUUGCAAUAUCGUCGGGCAUCUGUCUUAAAAAGCUAUAGCGGGCUAUUUGCAACAUUGUGGUUCUGUGAUCAGAAUUUUUUGGAUUUACUCGGGGUUGCAUUUUUCCUACAAUUCCCCAGCACUUUCCUCUGUAGUUGCUAUUAAUCGCGUAUUUGUGUUGUCACCUGCAUCAGGUGCUGCAACCCGUGGAGGUCACCAACGUGCCGGAAGAUGAGAUCCUGAUUAUUUGCUUCAGUGAGGCGCUUCCUGUUGGGGAGGGAACUUUGAACAUUGCAUUCAAGGGCACUCUGAAUGAUAAGAUGCACGGAUUCUACAGAAGGUAAUUGUUUUUGUAGUGUUAACUUUAUAAUUUUAUAAAUGUAGCAACAUAUUCACAGCGAUUUUUUUUUUGUUUAUAGUGUGUACGAGCUCAAUGGGGAGAAGAAGAACAUGGCUGUAACACAGUUUGAGCCCGCUGAUGCAAGGCGCUGCUUCCCGUGUUGGGAUGAGCCUGCUUUCAAGGUAUACUGCUUUGAUCUUUUACUUGCAUUGCAUUCCAUAAGCCCCAUUCAAGGUUCCCUGCUUCUUUUUCUCUCUUAUUCCGGUGUUACCUUAUGUUUUCUUUUGGUUCCGUUGCAUGGGGAAGAUGUGUAUAUAGCCUUGCAUGGAAAUUAUGAACAAGCUCAAUGCAUCGUAGUGUUAAGCACAAAAGGUUGAAACAAAAUCUAUUCUCUGCAUAGUCAUAUAUCUGCUUAUGCAGAUUGAUAUUCCUUGUAGUUGUCCCUUCAUCGAGUCUAUGUGUAAUUGGCACAGAAGGAACUUUCAUGGCUUUGUAUUACAUGGCAAACAUUAUUUUAUGUGUAAUCAUUUCUUCCUCCCUGCAGGCUGUAUUCAAAAUUACUCUAGAAGUUCCUUCUGAGACUGUUGCUUUGUCAAAUAUGCCAGUAAUUGAAGAGAAGGUCAAUGGUCCUACCAAAGUAGUCUAUUUCCAAGAAUCUCCAAUAAUGUCAACAUACCUAGUGGCUGUUAUUGUUGGCAUUUUUGACUACGUGGAAGCUUUCACCACAGAUGGUACUGUAACUUCAUUGUCACAUUAACAUUCAUCUCUUUAUCUUUCAUCUUAAGUUGGUUCAUGCCUUAAAAGUUGACUAAUCUCCACAUUCCUUUGCAGGUACUAGGGUCCGUGUUUACACACAAGUGGGUAAGAGUGCCCAGGGAAAAUUUGCUCUAGAGGUUGCCCUGAAGACAUUGGUCCUCUUCAAGGAGUAAUUUUCUUACAAUCCUUGUUAUUUAUUGGAAAGAUAGCCUACAUUUUUGUUGCAGUGCUCAUGAGAUGCAUAGUUUCUUUAGUCUGAUAAUGUUAUUUUGGAAUUUUGAUACUGAUCCUGACCAACAUGCAAAUAAUUAUGUUCUAUAGGUUGAUUGGUUUUAUUACAUUCUGGGCAUGUAUGUGAAAUUGCGAAUGCAUUCCAUUGAAGGUUUUAUUUCUUGAUAUCAAGUAUAGUUGCAUCAUGGCUCAGCUCAUUUCUGGAUGUGAUGGAUUUUAGAGCGGGCAUUUACAUGUUCCAGUAUUGAUCAUGCAAUGUUGCAAUAUUAUUGACCUUCCCAAAAUGGGAUCCGUGGAUUAAGGCCUUCCCAAAUUUGUAGAAGAUGUUUUGUGCUUUGAUCAUUAGCGUUAUGCCCCUUCCAAAACCUUUCAAAGAUGUUUUGUGCUUUGAUCAUGAUAUGUCAAUGUUAUGCCCCUUCCAAAACCUUUCAAAGUACAUCAGACUCCGUAAAUUUGAUGAUCUUUUGAGGCAUCCACGUCUUAUCCUCUGCUUGUUUACUGUCACACAACUGAAGCUCUCUUUAUGGUUUCAGCUGAUGAUGAAUUCUCUAUGUUGGCAGGUAUUUUGCUGUGCCAUACCCUCUUCCCAAAAUGGACAUGAUUGCUAUUCCUGAUUUUGCAUCCGGAGCAAUGGAGAACUAUGGCUUGGUUACAUACCGUGAAACAGCGUUGCUAUUUGAUGAGAAACACUCUGCAGCUGCGAAUAAACAACGGGUUGGGCACUAGUCUCAAUUGUUUGUACUUUCCUGGUAAUAUGGUCCACCGUCGUAAUUAGGCAUUUUUCAUGACACAUCAACCCAUUUGAAUUGGCCAUAGUGGGCAAUGCUGAACUUGAUUAUGCAACUAAUAUAUUUUACCAACCAAUUUAAUAGCAAUUACUGCAGAAGGCUGUUAUAAUAUUUUGUAGUGGUUUGAUUCAGAAAUGCAGUAGCUAUUUGAUUGUCAUGUGCUGUCACACCAACCUAACAUUUUUUUUUCCAUUCUUGUCUAUCCUCUCUGCAGGUUGCAGUUGUUGUAGCACAUGAAUUAGCUCAUCAAUGGUUUGGAAAUCUUGUGACAAUGGAGUGGUGGACACACCUGUGGCUUAAUGAGGGUUUUGCAACAUGGGUAAUAAACUAGAACAAAUGUAGUAGUUGAAAAGCUCCAUAUUUGUAUGUUGCCCAUAUGAUGCUUUUCCCCCCACUGCAGGUGUCUUACUUAGCUGCAGAUCAGUUCUUUCCUGAAUGGAAUGUUUGGACUCAAUUUCUGGAGGAAUCUACAACAGGUUUUAAGUUGGAUGCUCUUGCAGGAUCACAUCCAAUUGAGGUAACAAAAGUUCUAUUACUCCUUAUGUGCAAUGCUAUGACUAUCUUGUGGGAUUUUGCAGAGUAUUACAUUCUAAGUGAAUUUGGAGGUCUGAUACAUGAAUUUGAGGGUUCGAUUGCUUGAAUGCUUAUCUAAUUUGACCAGUCUAGAAAAUCAAUACGAUUGACCUUAUAUUCCCUACACCUUUAGUGGCAAAACAAAAGAUGACAAUUGGGACUGAAGUUGGGAUACACCCAAAAAAGUUAAUGUUAUAUGGAAGUUUUGAAAUGUGGUUAACCUGGUACCUGCUAGACUCUAGCAUAAUUUAGUUUAAUUUUGGUUGUUAUAUAUGUAUAUUAGCAACAUAUUAAGGGGGAUAUCAUAUAUGGUUGUAUAAUGGCAAAUUUUGAUGCCUGUAUCUGUAUGCAGCAUGCAAGUGGAAUUUUCAUGUGGCAAUAGCAUAUUUAUAACCAGUCAAAACAAUCUGAUUUGACUGGAGAUUUGAGAAUGAAAAUAAAAAAACUCAACAGGUUCCUACAUUUCUAGUAUUUUUUGGAAAGUGUGUUAUGGUGUUACAGUUGUUCUGAAAGUUGAUAACCGUUAUUUGUGCAGACUUGGGGCACACUACUAAACAGCGAUCACACUCUAAAUGGCACAAUCAAUGCAUGUUUAAAAUUUGCCUUAGAUAUCUGCUGCAUUUAUCACAUGGCUUACAAAUCUAUUAUUUUCAGGUGGACAUAAAUCAUGUUGAUGAAAUAGAUGAGAUAUUUGACGCUAUAAGCUAUAGGAAAGGAGCUUCUGUCAUCCGGAUGCUGCAAAGCUAUCUUGGGGCUGAGGUCUUUCAGGUUUGGUUUGCUUAUUCAUUACUCUCUUCCUUUUUUCCUCAAAAAAUUGUACAGUUUGAAGCAAUGAUAUGGUAAUUGUUAUGUGGUUGAAACAUAAUGUGACCUGGCUCUAUGGUUAGUUUACUUUUGAAAUGCAGCUUAGCUUUUUUUUUUUAGAUAAUGGAAGCAAUCAUCGGCCCCCUGCACAUGAGCUUUGUUAAGAGUUCAAUAUGUUUUCUCUUACUUUAUAUACUUUGACAAUUGGGCGACAUGCUAGACAUAGUCUUAAUUGCAUUAAUGUUAUUCUUUGAGAACACAUUUGUUGGAAAAUGCAAAUAGCUUUUUAAUUGGUUGUCACUUGUCAAUGAGACUUUUUUUUUGUUGAAAAUAUCAAUGGAAAUAUCUUUUCAGUGGUAACCAGAAGCUACCCCUUUGUUCUUUUUGCUAGAAAUCUUUGGCUGCAUACAUCAAAAGAUUUGCGUAUUCAAAUGCAAAGACAGAAGAUUUGUGGGCUGCCCUUGAAGAGGGGUCUGGUGAACCAGUUAGAACAUUAAUGCAUUCAUGGACAAAACAGCAAGGUUAUCCUGUUGUCAGUGUGAAAUUCAAGGAUGGAAAGUUACAGCUGGAGCAGGUAUGUUGUAGGCUAAUUUUUCUGGAGACUUGUCUGCAUAAUCAUGUAAACUUUGCAAGUUCUUUUCUCAAUUUAUAAGAUCAAAUUUAGUUAUUGGUUAGAGGCUUUCUGAAAACCUUCUGCUCUUGUUUCUUGCAGACACAGUUUCUUUCAAGUGGGUCCACAGGAGUUGGGCAAUGGGUGGUUCCUAUCACACUAUGUUGCUGUUCAUACUCACGCCAAGAGAAAUUCCUUUUUCAUGGGAAACAAGAAGAUUUUGGUCUGUGCGGGCUCAUGGAAUGCAAACAGAAAGACGACUUCUGGAUUAAACUUAAUGUCAACCAGACCAGCUUCUACAGAGUGAGCUAUGAUGAGGAACUUGCAUCCCGACUUCGAUAUGCAAUUGAAACCAAUAAAUUGAGUGCAGCAGACAGAUAUGGUAAAUUCUCUCAAUAUCUUUUUUUUCAAUUGUAUUGGUCUUACCCCAUCCACAUGUUCUUACAUUGUUAUUGUUUAAUACAGGUGUACUUGAUGAUGCUUAUGCUCUCUGUAUGGCUGGCAAACAAAAGCUAGUCUCCUUGCUGCAUUUGAUUGCUGCGUUCAAGGAUGAGACUGAGUAUACUGUGCUUGCACACGUAAUCACGGUAUGUUCUUUCUACUUGAAAAGUCCUUUCAUAUACUUGGAUUUUUUUCUAAGCAAUUUAAACUAUUUGGCUCUAUAGACAAGUCUGAACAUUGCCGAGAUGAUUGCUGUUGCUGCUCCAGAGGAAUUGGGUAAUCUGAAGAAGUUCCUAAUUGACUUCCUCGAGCCGUUUGCGCAGUAAGUAUAUUGCUCUAUUACUGGAAAAACAUUUUAUACUUGAGAUCUUGCCUAACAUGUCAGAAAUCAUUUGCAGGAAACUUGGCUGGGAUGCUAAGAGUGGUGAGGGCCACCUGAAUGCUUUGUUAAGAGGUACCCUCUUAACUGCUCUUGCAGAACUCGGCCAUGAGGCUACCAUAAAUGAAGCUGUUCGUAGAUUUAAUGUCUAUCUCGAAGACAGAGAGACACCACUCCUCCCUCCAGAUGUUCGAAAGGUUAGCAUCUUAACGGAAUUUAAGUUGUAUUUAACUAUUCAUAGCUAACUGCGAAAAGGUCCAGUCUGCUUAUUGAUCCUGUUUUGUUUUGUAGGCUGCAUAUGUUGCUUUGAUGCAGACAGUGAACAAAUCGAACAAGACUGGCUAUGAAUCACUCUUGAAGGUAUACAGAGAAAGUGAUCUAAGCCAGGAGAAAGUUCGCGUGUUAGGUAGGGUUUUCUUAUACCAUUUGAAAGUGAGCUUGUAGUUUUUGGACCUCCCUAAGUUUCUGACGCUCUUCCUUGUAGGUUCUUUGGCAUCAUGCCCUGACCCUGUUGUUGUUCGUGAAGCAUUGGACUUCAUACUAUCGCCUGAGGCAUGUGAUUAUUCUUCUUUUUUGGUCUAAUAUUUCAUCAGUGACAUGGCCCUGUGUGUUCCACAUGACAUGGCUAAACUUUGUUUCAUCUUUACCGGAAUAACUCAUGGUGUAUUGGCACACGCAGGUAAGGAAUCAGGACGCGAUAUUUUUGCUUAGAGGGGUGUGUUCAGGGGCACACGAGGUGGCAUGGCAAUGGCUGAAGGUACUCACCGACGUCCUUAUUUUUCCAUGGUUAGCUUUGCAACUUUUUUUGUCCUAUAUGCUAACUCCAUGACGACUAUGAUUUCAGGAAAAUUGGGACUACAUAUUGGGAGCUUACUCUGGAACUCUGCUCACCUACUUCGUCAACAUAACUGUCUCACCGGUACGCUGGAUAAUCUACCUGCAGCUCAUCUCUCUUGUAAGCCCAUCCGCAUUAGCGUUCUGACACAUCGCGAAACAUUGUUUCAGCUUGCCACUGAUGAAAAGGGUGAUGAGGCGGAGGAGUUUUUCAAGAGCAGAACCAAGGCGAGCAUCGCCAGGACUGUUAAGCAGAGCAUCGAGAGAGUGAGGAUCAAUGCCCAGUGGGUCAAGAGCAUCAAGGGCGAGGCCGACCUCAGCAAUGUCAUCAAGGCGCUCGCUCACAAGAACUGAGGCAAGAUGGCCACUUUCCUUUUCUGUGCCCUUGUAGUGUCGACGGGGAUGUAAGUUGUCGGAUUCAGAAGUGGAUUGAUAGAAUGGAUUAAUAAAGGGCUACUGAUUCGACUUAUUGCUUCUUGUCCGCCUUCUGCGUUGAUUGCUGCGAACUGUUUUUUUAAGGGGGUAUUUGGGUGCUAAAAUUUAGCAGUGUCACAUCGGAUGUUCGGAUACUAAUUAGGACUAAACAUGAGCUAAUUAUAAAACUAAUUGCAGAAUCCUGUGCUAAUUCGCGAGACGAAUCUAUUAAGCCUAAUUAAUCUAUCAUUAGCAAAUGGUCAUUGUAGCACCACAUUGUCAAAUUAUGGACUAAUUAGGCUUAAUAAAUUCGUCUCGUGAAUUAGACUCCAUCUGUGCAAUUAGUUUUGUAAUUAGCCUAUGUUUAAUACUCUUAAUUAGUAUCAAACAUCCGAUGUGAAUUCUAGAUGAAAUGCGCUGAAUGAAUCUCGGCUGUUUUUUUAAGUCAUUUUGGCGAAAGGCAUUCUGUAUGCCUUCACAGCAGCUGCAUUUCACGCCUGAAUUAUGGUUUAAAUGCGCUGAAUGCAUCGAGUGUAUCCAGAAACCAGAAUUGAGGCACAACUCUGGAUAGAUAUGUCAGCCUAUUAUUUUAUGGCCACAUAUCACUCAAGGAGUGAAGGUUGUCAUUUACUCAGAACCCACUUAGGCUUCGUUUGGCAGCUGUGGGGCACAAAUCACGUGUGAAACAGAUUGAUUGGGUGGAACCCCUCCUCCCACCGAAUCCCUCCCUGACCGGAGGUUUAACCCCUGGCAUAUAAUUAUAUCAUUUGGGAUGGUUUGGAUUGACGUGGGUUGACCCAUGAGAUCGCUAUGUACGUACGCCAUGCAAGAAAGGAAGCUGUGAUUCGAUACCUCUACGCCAAGAAAUAUGAAAGAAAAAAAGGUUAAAACUAAUGAGAACAAAAAUUCAAAAACAUAUCACAAUUUUUUUAAUAAAAAUCAUAGAUAAUCAGAAAACUUGAAAACCGCACGUCAAAAUGCAAUGUGUAUGACUCCAUUUCAAACAGAAGAAAACUUGAUCUAAACAUGAUAGCAGAAUAGGACAACCUCUCAUAGCAGAAUGUUCAGACGUAACAGUACAGCUUACAUAAAGUUGCAAGCUAGAUCGUAUAUUGGAAAAAAUCAUAGCUGCCGGUCUUGAAAUCAGUACAUCUAACCCACUUCUCUAGAGUAUGAUAGCUUUCACAAUCAUCUUCCACAGGUUUUCAACUUCAACGUAUAUCUUUCACAGAUUUAAAGUUGAGUACAUAGUAACAGAAACAUGCAUCAGUAGGACCGUCGAAUUUACACUAUGCUAGUUUUUUUUAGACCAUUUACACUAUGCUAUUUAGGGACCCACCGUACCUCCACAAAACUGCACAGAGAGUCUGUAGGAUCAGCGGAUUACAGUGCCUA